ACUCUUCUCCCGGUGUGACUCAAAGUAUUCCCUUUUGUUAUGUGAUUUGCAUUCCAACUAUUCCUGCCCUGCGAAAGUAAAACUAUUUCUUCUGCAUCUUUGAAUGAUUGUGAUUUAAUUUUCUUGUCAUUUUGCCAACUAUCAUUAUGCUGUCAUUGUUUCAUAUCUUAUUUGACAUAUGUUGAUUUGGAUAGAUUUUAAUUGCUCUGUUUAUUCUCUUUAUAAUCUGUCUAUUUCGAUUUUUCUUCAUUUUAGGGAAUAUGCUAAACUUUUAGUAAGCCGUGGCUUGAUUGGAGAGGCUAUUAAAAAUUUUGAGGAUCUGGUGUUGUGGGAUAGUCUAAUACUGCAAUUGGUAUGAUGUCAUAGAUAACCAUUACCCUAAUCUCUCUGUCUAUCUCUCUCUCUCUCUCUUUCGUGUUGCUAAUGGGAGUUGGUUUUGUGUAUGAUGUAAAAAACAGCCUAUUGGGGAAGAAAGCAGCAGCUGUUGAACUAAUAAAAGCAAGGCUGUCUGAAAAGCCUAAUGACCCUACAUUAUGGUUUGUUGAUGAGCCUUUUCUAUGAUCCAUUUUAUAGUUACUUCUCAUUUCAGUUAAAUCCAUUGUUGAUGUCACUUAUUGCAAUCUAGGGAUGAUUGUUCAUUGGAUGUGAGGAUAUUGUCAGAAGAAAAUGAAACCUUUUAAUUUUAUCUUUUACUUGCUGUAGCCGACUUAAAAGGUCACUGUGCGUUCUUACUGAUUGCUUUUGGUCUUGCAUUUGAGUCAGUGGAUUUUAUACUCAUAUUCUGACAUGUAUUGUUAGCCUUCUGACGGUUCUGCACCUUGGUCCUAUAUUAUCUUCAGCAGUAUUAUCUAAAAGAUCAUUUUUUGCCGAAGAAUAUUUGCAUUCUAAACUAGAAAAGGAGGGGCCGCCCGGGCCCGGGGGGGGGGGGGGGGGUGUGUGUGUGUGAAGGAAGCAUCAGGAGGUUGUUUUCCACUUAUCCUCUUCCCUGCCUGCAUUUUAGAUGAUUCUGAUGCACCAGGUGCCGUGAAAUGGUUGAGAAAUACAUACCAUCAAGUGAAUUCUGAAAAUCAUAUCCUUUUUGAGAAUAUUUGGUGCUAGACAUUUGAAUAUGUGGCCACAAUUUAAACAAUAAAGAUUUUCUGCACUGAUUUCUUAUAAUGGAUAUAUGCAUGUAAUUAUAAUAUGAUAUCUUUUGAUUAUUGACCCAUUUGUUUAGAAAGAAGGGGAAAAAAAAAACAUGGUUGAAAGACAACUGUUACUUGACCUUAUCUUGGUCUGUUCACUGCCGUUUGUUUCCUAUAACUUCUGGUGAUAAUGUAGCCAGAAUGAUGAGUUGAAUUGUGGUUUACUGACUUGUGAUACAUUUUGUAGGUGUUCAUUUUUGUUUUCUAAAUUUGUUAUCUAAAGGAAUGACAAGUUGACAACUCAGCCUCUCUCUCUCUCUCUCUCUCUCUCUCUCUCUGUGUGUCUGUGUCAGGGAUCUGAUUUGUGGAAAGAAAGAGAUCGGUUUGAAAGGUUUUCAUAUGCAUCCUUGGAACUUUGUAAGGUUUACAUGGAAAUUUCUUCCUCUUCUGGUAGCCGUCAAGAACUCUUUGCUGCUGAGAUGCACCUGAAGAACGUACUUAAACAAGUAAAAUACCUUAUAAUUCGAUAUUUAAGACACUUACAGAUGGUAUUACAUUGACAGCAGUAAAACAAAGAAGCAACUGAAAGUUAUCUUCAUAUGAGAAUGAAAGCUUUUCAGCAGCAUAAGCCUUUCACUAUUCAAUUCCAAACACGUUCCUCAACAUGAUAACAAAUUCGUAGACCUUUUCUGGGUCUGGAAGGAUCCUGUAACAGUUUCUCUUUGCAUGCACUUGUUCAUCCAUGCUGAGAAUUUGGGGCACUCAUUCUCAACCUUAAAUCCCCCAAAUUCCUCAACCGCGUAAAACCAUCAAGUCAGUGGAAUGGCAAUCACAUCAACGAAUCCAAAGCUGUCCCCGCCAAAGAAAUCCUUCUCCCCUAAAGCUCCCUCAAGUUGCUUCAAAAUCUCUAUAAAUUCAUUCUUCGCCGGGGACCUCGCCCUUCGUUUUGCAUAUGUUGCAGACUGGAUCGAAUACCUGCCAAAAAAGUGGUGUCAUCUUUUAAGUUCGCAUUUAGAAAGAUACAAACAUUUACACUUGAGAAUUAUAGACUGACCUUCUUGUCAAUAAAAUCUGCCCAGAACCUUGCCUUAGCUCUCUCAGAAGCACAGGAUGGGAGAAGUGAUGGCGAAGGCCAAGUCUCGUCAAUUUAGUUGACUAUAAUAGUGGAUUAACACAAUGGUUCCCCAUCGUGCAGCAAAACUGGGACUUUCUUGUAGAUGGGGUUUGAUUUGAGCAACAGGUCACUCUUGCCCCCGAACAAGUUCUCAGCUCUGGCUUCAUAUCCAACUCCUUUCUCAGCCAAUGCAAUCUUUGCUCUCAAGCAAAAUGGGCUAACCCAACAGUCCAAAAGAACAACCUCUCCCUUUGACAUAUUCAACUAUCAAGGUUGGUAUUUAUAUAGGAGAAAAGAUGAAAUUCCCAAAGAUUGUGUCGCAAUCAAGGUUUGUUCGUUGGCACUUCGAUAAAGGAUGUGGCCUUGUUCUUAUCAUUUCUUAGUUUUUGAAGCUAAAUGUUUUACUUGGCUUUCAACAGGCACAAGAACAAGUUUGUCUUGUGUAAAUAAAAUAAAACCAUAAAAUUCCAUUAUUAGUGUAAAACCAAAAUAAUUAAAAUAAUAAAAGUGAGUUAGUCGUGCGUGUGGACCUCCUCUUUAUGAGUUUGUUAUCACACCAUAUUUGGUUUCUAUAAAUAAAAUAACUAAAACUCUCUUAUCUAAGUAAGAAUAUUGUUAUUUUGAAAUACCAACUCAAUCUCUAACAAAUCUUGAGAUAUAACUUAAGAUUCUUGAGCUUCCAAUAUAAAACAAGUAAGAUUAACAUAACUUUUUCACUUCCUUCCAUCAAAGAAGGGAAUAAGUUAUAUAAUUUAAUUUAUGUUUAAUUAAAUUAUUUUAAAUGGGUAAUAAUUAUAAAUUUUUCCACUUUAUUUAAUUAACUAGAUAAGACCAUAUUGUAAAUUCUUACAUUUAUCACUUUAAUCUCUUUCCUUUUUCAUUCCAACUCCGGUACAAACUAUUCCUUUUCAAAAAGUUGUACUCAAAUUGAUAAGUCUUGGAAGACCAAAACACUAUUUAAAAUUUAUUAUUUGCUUUAGUAGCUUUCAUGGGUGCAAGGUAAGGAACAAAACUCGGUGGAUUUUAUGACAAAAGCUUUAUCUUAUGUAGCACUUUUUUCGAUAUCUCGAACUUUACUCUUUAAGAAUGUUGUAUAAUAUUUCUACAAUAACAACAAACAAAUUAUAACCCUGAAAGAUCUAUAUACACCUCGAUCUCUAGCUAGUUCUCUACAAAAUAUGGCACUAAGUAACAAUGUAAUCGGAGCCAUCAACUUUGUUGCCGUACUUCUUUCAAUCCCAGUCAUCGGUGCCGGAAUCUGGCUUGCCACCGAGGCAGACAAUUCUUGUGUCAAGCUUCUACAAUGGCCAGUCAUUAUUUUGGGAAUCUUGAUUCUAGUCGUGGCUCUAGCAGGCUUUAUUGGAGGAUUUUGGCGCAUCCCUUGGCUCCUUAUACUUUAUCUCGUUGCCAUGCUCAUUCUUAUAAUAUUGCUGGCUUGUCUAGUUGUUUUCAUUUACAUGGUCACGAUUAAGGGCUCAGGUCACCUUGCACCCAGUAGAGCGUACUUGGAAUACCGCCUCGAUGAUUUUUCUGGAUGGCUACGUAGAAGAGUUCGAAGCCCUUACAAAUGGGAUCGGAUCAAAAGCUGUCUCAGCUCGACACAGAUGUGCCCUGAGUUGAACCAUGUAAAAAUGAGUUGCAAAUACUGUUUGGUUACUGAGAAACAGAGAGAAAAUUGAUGAAUAUUCCAGAUCUUAUUAUUUCAUUAAUUACAAAUGAGUAAAUCACAAGUCUUUAUACUUGCAUUUCAUUAGUAAAAGCUAUUAACGAAACUGAUCUGUAUUAACUAACUAAUACUAACUAACUAAUCACGCGAACUCUCAUUGCUGCAUAACAGAAUCAGCUGACUCAGCAUUGUUGACGUGGCAUUGCUGACGCACCUUAGCUUCUGACUUCUUCUCUCUUCUUAGCUCAGCACAAUGAGCUUUCUUCACAGCCCCUCUCAAACUCAAGGGGCAUAAAUGCACAUUGAGUUUGUUCCUCAGAUAAAUGAACUGAGAAGAGUUUAAGGGCUUAGUCAUUAUGUCUGCUAUCUGUUCUGUACUAGGAACAUAUAGAAUCUUAAGAUCUCCAGUUAGAACCUUAUCUCUGAUAAAAUGCAGAUCGAUUUCUAUGUGUUUUGUUCUUGAGUGAAACACUGGAUUAUGAGCAAGAUCUUUGGCACUUACAUUGUCACACCAUAUAACUGGUUUCUCCACACGACAUAGAUUAAUCUCAAGAAACAAAGAUUUUAUCCAUGUUAUCUCUGAAACAGCUGCUGCAAGUGCUCUGUAUUCACUUUCUGCAGAAGAUUUUGUAACUACAGAUUGCUUCUUUGAGGACCAUGAGAUUAAGUUGUUUCCUAGGUACACACAAUAUGCACCAGUGGAUCUUCUGUCAUCAAGAUCACUUCCCCAGUCUGCAUCUGUAAAUGCUGUAACCUUCAGCUCACCUUUCUUAACAAAUUUCAGCCCAUAGUCUUGUGUUUCCUUCAGAUAUCUAAGCACACGUUUGCAUGCCAUAAGAUGUUGAAGUGUUGGUGAAGAUACAUACUGACUUAGCUUAUGAACUGAAUAGGCAAUUUCAGGUCUUGUCAAAACUAAAUACUGAAGACCUCCUACAAUGCUUCUGUAAUGAGAUGGAUCUUCUAUGUAAUAACCCAUUUCCCCUUCUAUAUUCUUCUGCAAUCUGUAAUCUUUGCUGCUGCUCAUUGGUGUAUCUAUUCCUUUACACUCGAGCAUAUCAGCUUUAGCCAGCAAGUCUCUGAUAUACUUCCUUUGUGAUAGAUACAUACGGCCAAGAUCAUACAAAACUUCAAUUCCAAGAAAAUAAGAUAACUUUCCCAGAUCCUUUAAUGCAAAUGCAGAACUGAAUAGCUUGAUAAAAUCUUCCAGCUCAUCACAAUUUGAUCCUGUAAUCAAUAUGUCAUCCACAUAUAUCAGGAUUAAAAUAAUUGAUCUUUUAUUCUUUUUCAAGAACAAAGAUGAGUCAGACUUAGAAUUCUCAAAUCCCCAUUGCACAAGACUGUUUCUCAGCUUGUCAAAACAUGCUCGUGGAGCUUGUUUCAAACCAUAAAGUGCCUUGUGAAGCUUGCACACAAAAUCAGGUCUUUUGGAAUCAAUAAACCCUUCUGGUUGACUCAUAUACACCUCCUCAAUUAAAUCUCCAUUUAAGAAUGCAUUAUUCACAUCAACCUGUCUUAUUUGCCACUGAUUCAUUACUGCUAGACUCAGGACUAUUCUAACUGUUGCUGCUUUCACCACUGGACUGAAAGUCUCAAAGUAGUUCACUCCUUCUAUUUGCUGAAAUCCUUUAGCAACCAACCUUGCCUUAUAUUUUGCAACACUUCCAUCAGUAUUUGAUUUCACUCGAAAUACCCAUUUGUUGCCAACAAGUUUGUGAUGUUCUGUUCUUGGCACAAGUGUCCAGGUACCAUUUGACAUUAGUGCAUCAUAUUCAGCUUUCAUUACUUGAAACCAUCUCUCAUCAUUGAUAGCCUCCUGAACUGUAUCUGGUUCUUUAUGCAACAAUACUGCAGUAUAUACCUUUGGCUUAAAGAUACCUGCUUUCCCUCUAGUGAUCAUGGGGUGUUGGUUUAGUGAUGGUGAGGUUGUCAUUGUUUGAUUGAGAUGAGGGAUAUUGUUAUUGUGUUGGUUUUGUGAAUUUUCAUUUGAGGGCUGUUCUAAUGUUGUGUCAGGUAUAGAAGGUAACAUUAUAGGUGCAGAUGGAUUAUUUCUGUCUGUGUUUGAGGGUUGUUGAUCUGUUACCUGUGUUGAGACUACUGUUGAAGGAAAAAUGUUGCCACUGGAGUAUGCUUGAGAGAAAGAUUCAUUGCUGGUGACUGAAAAAUCUGUUAUGACAGGUAAUGUUGAUAACUGGAAAACUUGUAUAGGAGUAAUUGUGCAAUAUGUAUCAGACUUAGAUUUAUUUGAAUUAUGAAAGCUAGGAUCAGCUGCAAAUGGAUAAGAGUGUUCAUCAAAGACAACAUGCCUAGCUAUAUAUAUAUGUCCAGAGGGGUGAUAACACUUGUAGCCUUUAUGAGAUGGACUAUAACCAAGAAAAAUGCAUUUGGUUGUGUGAUAGUCAAACUUGUGCUUAUUGUAAUCUCUCAGAUAUGGAUAACAAGCACAUCCAAAGCAUUUCAGCAUUUUAUAAUCAGCCUUGUGUUUAUAAAGCUUUUCAUAUGGAGUAGACAUCUUAAGUGCAGAAGUAGGGAGUCUAUUAAUGUGAUAGACUGAGGCAUGAAAAGCAUCCCACCAGAAUUGAAAAGGGAGUUUGGCUUGAGCUAGAAGUGUCAGUCCUAAUUCUACAAUUUGUCUGUGUUUUCUUUCAACAAGUCCAUUCUGAUGAUGAGUGUAAGGGCAAGAGUGUCUAAAGAGAAUGCCACAUUCAUUUAGAAAGGCAGUAAAUGGUCUGUAUUCUCCCCCCCAGUCAGAUUGUAGAAUUUUGAUAGAAGUUUGAAAUUGUUUUUCAACUUGAAGUUUGAACAGCUUGAACACUUCUAGAGCUUCUGAUUUAAGUUUCAAAGGAUAAAUCCAGGUGUAUCUGGUAUGAUCAUCCACAAAGCUAAUGUAAUAUCUAAAGCCAUCUCUAGAAUAUGCUGGUGAGGGACCCCAUAGAUCAGUGUGAACAAGUUCUAGAGCUGAUGUGGAUUUGAUAUCAGUGAUUGGAAAAUGAAGUUUAUGAAAUUUUCCUAGUUGACAUGCUUCACAGAAAUGCUUUGUAGCUUGAUUAACAAUAUUUGUAGAGCACAAAUUGGGAUGCACAAGCUUAAGCAAAUGAAUUAGACUUUGAGUAUUAGGAUGACCAAAUCGUUUGUGGAGUAAAGACAUUUUAUUGAAUGAAUUAGUGCUACAAGUAUUCUUAUUUGACUGAAAACAUUUUCCAGAACAAGAACUAUUAACUGAAGUGCUGAAAUAACACUGAGAUAGCAUGGACACAGGCUUAUUUAUUGAGCUCUGAGAUAGAAAAGAGGUAAAUGUAGAUUGUGAUGAUGAACUCAGCUGCAAUUUGUAUAAACCUUUCUCAGCAAUACCCAGUAGCAGAAUUUUCCCUUUCAGUAUAUCCUUCACAAAGCAAACAGAACCAAGGAAUUCAACAGAUAAGUCAUUAUCAGUGGUCAGUCUAGAAACACUUAUUAAAUUCUUUGUAAUAGAUGGAACAAGCAGUAUAUCUUUAAGUGCAAUGCAUGUACUUGCAUAUUGUAUUUUAGAGCUUUGAAUUGUAAGAUUGGCAUUACCAACAUGUGUGAUUGACAAACCUUUACCAUCACCAAUGAUAAGCUUGUCAUUACCUCUAAACUCAUUGCUGACAUGCAUAUUUGCCAUACUAUUUGUUAGAUGAUGUGUAGCUCCACUGUCAAGGUACCAUCCUUCAUCUGUUGGUCCUUCAAAGUUAGCAGCAUAAGCAGCUCCAGCUCCACUCACAGGUGAGCUCAUUGAGUCAGAUAUGUAUGAAGAAUAUGGUGUAUUAUACACGUGAGGUAUCCCUGAAUAAUCAGCUGCAGCAGGCCAUGAAUCUUCAGUAGGUGCAUUAAAAUAUGUCAUAUAGGCUGAUCUCUGAUUUCUUCCUCUUUUCAUGUGUUGAGGUAUAUAAUUUUCUUCAAACCUAUGCCAACAUUCUACUGCUGUGUGUCCAGAUUUAAAACAGAUCUGACAAACAACAGUCUGUUCCUCAUUACCAUCAGAAUUCGACAAACCAGAAUUAACACUAUAUUGUCCUCUCAUGAAUUGUGCCUGCUUAUUAUUGUUUCCAAUCAUUUGACCUCUGCCAAGAUUAUUACCAAGAUUUCCAGAUCCAGAGGGAAAGCCUCUUGGAUGAGAAUUGAUAAACAUUCCUCUUCCAGUAUGAAAAUUGUUUCUUCCAAAUUGAUUUCCACCAUGAAAUCCUCCAUUAUAUCCACCUCUUCGAGCACUACCUCUUGUUUGAGCAUAAUAAGCAUUCAUCAUACCAUAGCCAUUAUUAUUAUGAGAAACAUUAGCAAGAUUUGCAUUGAACAUCUGUUUUUCAUUUAGACUCUGUUCUAAUCUUGUUUCAUGCGUGAGCAGCAAUGCAUAGGAAUCAUCAAAAUCUAGCUUACUAGCAGUAAUGAAAGUUGCUAAAUCUAGAUAGCCUGGUCCAAGACCAUUAAGGAUCUGUUGUAACAGAUCUUUGUCAGAAACUGGACUACCAGCACAGGCUAAUUUAUCUGCUAUUUGUUUCAUUUUCAAACAAUAAUCUUCUACAUUUAGUGAAUCUUUUCUCAAAACACUCAUCUCAUAUUUGAGUUGAAGAACUCUAGCUUCAGAUUUUGCACCAAACUUUUUCUCCAAUGUUUUCCACACAUCAUAUGCAGUAUUACAAGAAUGAACAUGACUGAGAAUACCUUCAGUGAUUGAGCUUAAUAGCCAGCUUAGUAAUGUCUGAUCCUGUGACCUCCAGAUUAUAUAUUCUGGAUUUUCAACUUGUUGUGUAACUCUUCCCAUUGUUUCAGCAUAGCUUCCUGAAGUAAGAAAUUGAGUAGGUGCUGCCUUUUCUCCAUUGAUGUAGCCUUCAAGUCUGUUUCCUCUUAUAGAAGCUAAUACUUGAUUUCGCCAGAGCAUAUAAUUGGAUCUAUCCAAUUUGAUUGGCGUAAUGAAUGAGAAGGUAGUUUGUAUUGAUUGAUUCAUGUUUGUUGUGUUUGGAUUUGUGUUUAAAUUGCUUGAGCUUACCAUAUUUCUGGCUCUGAUACCAUGUAAAAAUGAGUUGCAAAUACUGUUUGGUUACUGAGAAACAGAGAGAAAAUUGAUAAAUAUUCUAGAUCUUAUUAUUUCAUUAAUUACAAAUGAGUAAAUCACAAGUCUUUAUACUUGCAUUUCAUUAGUAAAAGCUAUUAACGAAACUGAUCUGUAUUAACUAACUAAUACUAACUAACUAAUCACGCGAACUCUCAUUGCUGCAUAACAGAAUCAGCUGACUCAGCAUUGUUGACGUGGCAUUGCUGACGCACCUUAGCUUCUGACUUCUUCUCUCUUCUCAGCUCAGCACAAUGAGCUUUCUUCACAAACCAGAGUUAUAGGAUGGCUCAAGAUUUCUUCAAUGCACAUAUUACCCCUUUACAGGUAAUUAUAAUUAAUUAAGUUCUCGAUUACCAUUAAUUUUAUUUUAUUUUUUUCCAUUAAUUUCUAGAAAUUAAGAUUUAUUAGAACUCUAAAGUUAAAUUCUGAUUAAAAUUUUAAUUUUUAACGUACACAUUCCUCUUUAUAAUUAUGACCGUACGUAAUUUUAUAGCAGAGGAUAAUUCCUACCCAUUAAUUAAGCUAACCCACACGCCCAUGGAACAAUGAAGAAGUAGCUAAUAAAGUAAAAACACUGUAUUAGAUUCGGAAAACCAAGUUUCAAAUCUUCUUUUCAAAAAUAUUCUUCGUCUUUAUCUUUAUUGCGUGCCUUUGUGCUUUUUUUUUUCUAUUUAUUUAUUUUUCUUGUUUACAGUCUGGAUGUUGUAAGCCUCCGACAGAGUGUGGUUACACAUUUGUAAACCCAACAUAUUGGAUAAGUCCAAUUAACAACGCGGCGGACAUGGAUUGCCUACAGUGGAGCAAUGACCAAAUGCAGCUUUGCUAUAAUUGUGAUUCAUGCAAAGCAGGAUUACUUGCUAAUCUGAAAAAGGAGUGGAGAAGAGUAGAUAUCAUAUUACUCGUUACUCUUGUUGCUUUGAUAUGGGUUUAUCUGAUUGGAUGUUGUGCUUUUAGGAACGCCAAAACUGAAGACCUCUUUCGCAAGUACAAGCAAGGCACUUACACGUAAUUGUUAGCUGCACGUAAACUCUCUUUGAUAGUAAUAUUAAUGUGUAAUUAGGGACUGGCUUGAAUUGUUAUUUUGAUAAUUUUAUGAAUUUUUUGUUUAAGAUCCGUCUUCUUGGUUACUUACAUUUGGUUAAAUUAUGUGUGGGGUUUGAUUUGAUGACGACAUAAUCUUGAGUUGUGCGUGCGUGAUUUGUGGAGGGCGCCGAAAGUAGGUGGCUUUUGAAUAUUUGCUUUUUAAGGAGAAGGGAUUUCGCACUUCCGCUCCCUGCUUGCUCGCAUAGGGCAUUAAUUGUAGCUUUGAAAAAAGUUCUGCUUCAGCAUGCGCAAAAGUCAAAGAAAUGGGACAUGUGCUCAUGCAUUAUGCAGCCAGCAUAUGGGUGAUAGCAGACGUAUUUAAUCUUUUAGUCUUUGUUGACAACUCAGCCUCUCUCUCUCUCUCUCUCUCUCUCUCUCUCUCUCUCGCUGUGUCUCUGCGUCAGGGAUCUGAUUUGUGGGAAGAUAGAUAUCGGUUUAAAAGGUUUUCAUAUGCAUCCUUGGAACUUUGUAAGGUUUACAUGGAAAUUUCUUCCUCUUCCAGUGGCCGUCGAGAACUCUUUGCUGCUGAGAUGCACCUGAAGAACGUCCUUAAACAAGUAAAACACCUUAUAAUUCGAUAUUUAAGACACUUACAGUUGGUUUAAAGAUUGCAUUUUCCGUUUCUGUUUUUGACUGGUUCAGGGUAAAACUUUUUCUCACUGUGUUAGAGUGCAUUUCUGUUAUUAUAUAGUACCUGUCAAAAUUUUCCAUUCCAAUUAGUUACAGAGUGAAUUCUGUAAGGUGUGGCGCCCCCUUGAAGGCCAGGAGAGCCGUGUUUAGGGCUUAUCACCCCUCCAAGGUGUAAUCCCUUGUAUCCCUGUAGCUUAUACCAGAGGUCCGGAGUACUGCAGACUUGUGGAGAUACGGGGCUAUGAGUUUCCAUCUUUCGGACAUCACAACACUUGUUCUGGAGAAAUUAUGGGUUUAUUUCAGAACAGAGGAAGGUUACUUCAUUAAGAGGAAUGAGAGAUUUACAAUACACUAGAUUUAGGCUCCAAGACUCGAUGCCUAGAUACAAACCAAGGGUUCCCUUUUAUAGGCACAAGGGAACCACUAUUACACACUGUAGUCAUUAUUGAUCCUUAUCUCUAAGGAAUCUAUUUUACAACUCACUCCUUACUUUAUGUCACACUCAUACUCUCAUCCUUAUCACAAAGGAUGGUACACAAUACAUACGAAUACAAAUACAUAUAUUAUUAUUAUUAGAGAUACAAAUACAUAUAUUAUUAUUAUUAAAUAUACAAAUACAUAUACGAAUACAAAGGAUGGUACACAAUACACUCUGAUAAUAAUAAUAUAUGUAUUUGUAUUCGUAUGUAUUGUGUAUCAUCCUUUGUGAUAAGGAUGAGAGUGUGAGUGUGACAUAAAGUAAGGAGUGAGUUGUAAAGUAGAUUCCUUAGAGAUAAGGAUCAAUAAUGACUACAGUGUGUAAUAGUGGUUCCCUUGUGCCUAUAAAAGGGAACCCUUGGUUUGUAUCUAGGCAUCGAGUCUUGGAGCUUAAAUCUAGUGUAUUGUAAAUCUCUCAUUCCUCUUAAUGAAGUAACCUUCCUCUGUUCUGAAAUAAACCCAUUUUGGUAUCAGAGCCAUAUUUCCCAAAAGGAAACCCCUGGGUGUGCAACAAUAUUAUGCUCUGUGGUUGCCGAAACACUUCGGAUCCUCCACAUCAGAAAGUUGUUGAAUACUGAUCUACCUGUCAAAAUUUUCCAUUCCAAUUAGUUACAGAGUGAAUUCUGUAAGGUGUGGCGCCCCCUUGAAGGCCAGGAGAGCCGUGUUUAGGGCUUAUCACCCCAAAGAAAACCCUUUGUUUUCUCUUAGCCAUGGAAAACUCAAACAGUAAUAGAUCUGGAAACCAAACAGUUUCUGACCAAGGAUCCACUUCGGCUAUCAGAGUUCUAACUGAUAGUUCACCCUCUAUAAACUUCCAUUACGAAACCCAAGAGGAUGAAAGCAGUGAGAGAGCGGUUCAGUCCUUUAGACUUGAUCCGUUAGAUCCCUAUAGAUACUACCAUAUCAAUUCUACUCUUAAUCAAUUAAGAGCCAUAAUUCCUAUUAGACAACCCAAGCUUAAAACCAUCUAUAAAUCCUCUGAGAUUACUGUCCAGUUCAUCUCCUCCAGUUCUAAAGAAACAUACCUUCCUAUAAUCUCUACCAAUGAGGUUACAAGGUAUAAGCUACAGGGAUACAAGGGAUUACACCUUGGAGCAAUCUAGAUAGGAAUACAACCAUUGUUCCUAGCUGGAAAAGAUAUCACAUGCUUCAUUGCCAUCCUUGACACUAGAUGGCAAACUUUUGAGAAAGCCUUGAUCACUGCUGUCGAAGCAGGACUCAACCAAGGUCAUGUUGUUCUCCAAGUUGAACCCAACUUCACCCUUGACAUACACAAGCCAUUUCUCACAGAUGCCAUUAAGGUAUUAAUUCAGGUCAAUGGUCUAACCAUAAAACCUGAUGAAUCUGCCUUGGCAAUUCACCACACCAUGACCUAUAAAGUCCAAACCCAUCUGUUCUCUAUGAGCAGCUCUGGCAGGCCCAUUACCAGAUUUCUUGCUGGUGAUGGCAGAGUCUUUCAACCUCGGACUUAUAGGCAAAAUCAGCUCAUUUUUCUACCUCAAUGGAUCAAUGAGUAUGAAAAAAACAGCAAGCCUCAACAAAUCCAUGAGGUUCCAAAGAUAAGCCGGUUACAAGAAGGAAGGGUAUCAGUCUCUUUUCCCACUGAGACUAAAGCCCUCUAUCCAUGUGAAAAAUGCCAGCUUGAAGGAAGGCAUCCCUCCUUGUGCACUCAUAUGCCAAGAAGAAUCACCUCCUGCAGAAUCAUGGGUCCAAUUAACAUGAUCACCACUCCGGAUCUUGAUAAUGAAUUCCUCAAGGAUAUUCCUGGAGGAAUGUAUGUUGCCAAAUGGGUAAUACAAAAAACCAACCCAACUGAAUUUGGCCCAAUUGAGAAGGCGAUCAACUGGUCAAACAUCAAUGCUGUUGAACAGAACCAAGCGUUGGGAGACAUCAUGGUUACCCAACAGCAAAUUCUUGCUGACUUAGCUGUUAUCAGAAAACAGCUAAAGAAAACCAGAAAACAGCAUAAGGUGACUACCCAGCAGUUUUCCCAAAUGCAUGACAGUGCCUCCAGAUCUAUCAACAUGAUCGUAAUGACCGGAGCUGCAGAUGAGGACGGAAUGAGAAGAACCAGAGAAAGCUAUCAAAGGACAAAAGUGUCCAGGCACUGGAAGAGCAAGCCCACAAAGCCAUGGCAUGUCUGGGAAGAAAAUGCAUCUGGCAACUGUCAAAAGGCAUUUUGGAGAAGCUAUGCUCCACCUCCACAAUAUCCAUGGCCCACUAAGGCUACAGGAUGGGAUGAGGAUAAAGAUACGGAUACUGAAACAAGUAUCUCCUCUGAUGACCAGAUCCCUCUUAUACCAAUUCUUAUGCAAAGAGCAAAUCCUCCAAAUCCAUUCUAUGUGGAUACUCGAGCUAGAUUUGCAGCAUCCACACCAACACAGGGUCAAACCUCUGAUCCUACAAGACAAGAGCAAACUCAACACCCAUCAGGAACAACCCAGUUCACUGCCCCAGAAUUCGCUAAUCCUGCUGCCCAACCAGAAGCAUCUGGAGUAGAAUCCACAAAUCAAGAAGACAGGGCACCACAUAUUGAUGAGGUAAAUCAGGGAGACGAAUGGGAAACCCGUGUCCAACUUGGGCAUUCUACGACGGGAAAAAUGUUCUGGAACAUCGAUAGAAUGAAGCCAAAAGAAAUAUUGGCUUACUUUGAAAAGAUGGUAGCUUGGUAUGAAGGAGAAUGCCAACGAACUCCCCAGUUGAGCAGAAGAUCGGCAGCAAUGAGACUUGUUGCAGGAUUCGUUGGAUCAUUGAGAAGAUGGUGGGGAAGAAAGCUCAGCAGAGAACAAAAGGAAUUCAUACUCAGCAGAGAAGACCCUUGUGGAAGCUUGGUAGAAAAUCUAUCCUUGGAUUUUCUCGGCCAACACACAAGAGAAGAAGAAGUAGCUGAAAAACAAUUUCUCCAGAACAAGUGUUGUGAUGUCCGAAAGAUGGAAGAGUACUACCUAGAGCAAGAAAGGUUGUACUACAUCUUUGACAAACAAACUGACACCAUCCACAGAACAUUCGUGCUAAACAUGCCAGGCCCAGUAGCGGAAAUGAUGGAGGCUAAAUUCAAAGCUGAUGCAAUUGUUGAUUUAGCACAGCUUAGCCUUGCUCAGCUCUAUCAGAUAUCUAUGGAGCUGAUCCAAAGUCAUUGCAGAUCUCAAGACUUAAGAAGGCACAUGAAGCAGAUUGAGAAAUCCUCUCUGCAAAAAUUCUGUAAUGAGGAACCAAACAAAUUUGGUUGCCACCAUACAGACAAAAUGUGCUCUUGCAAGAACAACAGGCAGAAAAGGCCAAAGAAACCCUGGAAGCCCUACAAAGGAAAGAAAUACCGUUUCAUCAAAAAACGAAAACAAAAGAAAGGCUCGGGGAGAUGUUUCAUUUGCGGAAAGAAAGGUCACUAUGCCAAACAGUGCAAAUCCAAGAAAAGACUUCCAGCAAAACUUCUCCAGAUGAUCCAGCAGGAAGAUUUUGAUGAUGACAUCUAUACCUGGUCAGAUAGCCCUACGGUGUUGUAUACACAAUGGAUAAAUAUCCUCUUUCAGACGACGAUGAUACAGAUUCUCUUUCUAGCACUGACAGUGAUUCUGAUGAUGAUCCUGUCAUGACCAUCCAUGAGCCUCUCCAAGCUAACCUGGCAAUGGCCCCUGCCUCUCUCUUCAGACCACAUAUAAAGGUUAUCCUCAACCCAUCUGAGGAUAAACAGGUAGCACUCACUGCUCUUAUUGACACUGGAGCAAUGUGCUCAUUCAUUCGAGAAGCUUGUGUUCCUUCCACCUUUUAUGUUCCUACUAAGGUCUCGUUUGGCUCCGCUAGUGGAAGUAACUUCUCCAGUAAAAAGAUUACCCGGCCUAUAGAAAUCCAGCCCUUUAUGAUAAGGCAUGGCUUCUUUGCCUUUGAUUAUUCAGGCGAAGAUAUCUUGCCAGGCACCGACUUUUUAAGUCUGAUUGCCCCUUUUGCCUUCUUUCCCGAUGGCUUCUCUUAUACCAUUCGGAAUCCUCACACGGGCACCACUAACACUUUCUGGGUACCCUGGGUUGAAAAACAAUCCAUUUUUGGGGAGGGUGGAAAACUACAAAAUUACACCAUCCAUAAAUAUGAACCCCAAAUUAAAGAACUCCUUGAAUGCUGUGCAGAAGUGCCAAACCAGUUUUGGGCUAGAGAACAACAUUUUGUGUCUCUACCAUACAAGGAUGGAUGGACCAUGCCUCACCAGACGGCCUCUCAUCCAGGCAUUCCUCAUGACGAAGAACUAUGCAAAACAGAGAUCCAGGCUCUUAUGGAUCUAGAGCUCAUCAGGCCCUCUAAGUCUCAUUGGGCUAGCCCAGCAUUUUAUGUCAACAAGCAUUCAGAACAGAUACGUGGAAAAAAGCGAUUGGUAAUUCACUACAGAAAACUGAAUGAUUGCUUGCAGGACAUAAGAUACCCCAUUCCACGGAGGACACACAUUUUAAAACGCAUUGCUGGUGCAAAAGUGUUUUCAAAGUUUGACAUGAAGUCAGGCUUUUGGCAAAUUGGGAUUAAAGAAGAAGACAGACACAAGACAGCAUUUGUGGUCCCCCACGGGCAUUAUGAAUGGAAUGUGAUGCCUUUUGGCCUAAAGAAUACACCGUCAGAAUUCCAAAACAGAAUGGAUGAGGUGUACAAAUCUAUCUCAGGAUUUUGCCUUAUCUACAUUGACGAUGCUCUUAUCUUCAGCAACAGUGAAGAAGAACAUGCUGAACACCUGUCCCAAUUCAAGGCACUAACCUAUAAACAUGGGUUAGCUUUGUCAGAAUCCAAAAUGAAGAUAGGCCUUGAUGAGGUGGACUUUCUAGGAUUACACAUCAAGCAGAGAUUCAUCAUUCCUCAGCCACAUAUAGCUGAAAAAAUAUCCCAAUUCCCAGACCAGCUGUCAACCAGAAAGCAGAUCCACCAGUUCCUCGGGAUAAUCAACUAUGCAGCAGACCAUGUGCAGGAUCUGUCAAAGAUGACGAGAGUCAGAUAUCAAAGCACUUAAAGAAGAGUGCCCCACAAUGGUCGGAAGACGCAACAAAAGCAGUGACAGACUUAAAGCAAAAGUGCCAGUCACUUCCACCAUUAAAGAUACCUGACAAGGGACAGCUCAUCCUCCAGACAGAUGCAAGUGACCAUUAUUGGGGAGCACUGUUGAUAGAGGAAUCCGAGGGAAACAGAAAAGUGUGUGGCUAUAAAUCAGGCCAGUUCAACGAUGCUCAAAGCCACUACCCCUCCUCCAAAAAAGAAGUCUUAGCAGUUGUCAAAGGGAUCAAAAACUUUCAAUUCUUUCUUUCACUAACUCCCUUUGUGAUUGAAACAGACUACAAAUACCUACAGGGAUUACUCAGGAGAAAAGAAGGAGAAAUACCAGAUCCACAGCUUGCAAGGUGGUCUGAGUCUCUCUCGAGAUUCAAGUUUGAAGUAAAGCACAUCAAAGGAGAAUCCAACACUGUUGCGGAUUUCCUUUCCAGACCGAUCACCAUGAUCAAAAGAAGAAGCCUUCCAAAAAGAUGGGACGAAGGCAGUUCUAGUGCUCACGCAGCCCGAGCACACUUUCUCAAAGAUCUUAACAUCUUCAUUGCUUGGCUUCCUUCGGAAGUUCAAGAUGACAUCUUUGAGAAAGUCAUCUGCCACAAAAGAGAUCCAGAAGAUCAAGCUCUGACAUGGCGGGUAUGGCAGCUCAUGGCCAUGCAGGAACACAGACCUGCCCAUAACAAACAAUGUCAAAGAGCUUUUGAUCCACAUCCAAAUCCUGACCAGAUGCAUGAAACGGUCUUCAAGGUCGGUUGCACCUUCCACUAUGUAAUAGACGAGAACUCCAACUGGGGUCACUAUGUUAUCUGCGAUAUAACCCCUCAAGCCUAUUACAUAACUUGGUACUGGCCCAACAUUUACCCAGUGGCAAUCCUGUUUGAACCACAUCUGAUCCAUACCAGCAGGAGAUAUGGGAAGGGAAGAUGGUUCGACCGAAUGUUCGCUCCUAUCUUCGAAGACAUCCUAACACUCCGGCUAAUCAACGGAUAUCACAUCACUCACUCUACUAUAGUGAUUGUGAAACUCACAGAUAUCUGGGGAAGAUACAAGCAGCCUCUUGUGCAGGUGGUCCAGCAUGACCUCAACCAUGAAGAAAUUGAUUCCAUGUGGACAGGCUGUUGGAAUGCUAGAAAAGCUUUAGCUGAGGUAUACGGAACUAUUCCAAUGUAUAAUACUCAUAGCCCCGUAUCUUCACAAGUCUGCAGUACUCCGGACCUCUACUACAGAGAGGAGAUCAGGAAUCUCAAGCUUCAUGGAGAAGAAGAUGAAGCAGCAGACUUGCAGCAGUGGUAUAAUGAUUACCUCACUCGCCAUGGCAGGCCAAAAGAAGUCACUUAUCUGGACACUCCAGAUAUUGAAAGAUGGAGGAACGAGCUUGAAGAAAUGGCCCAUUGGCUAGACCUCCAAGAUUGGCCCCAACCUGAGUUAGACCCCCAGCCGGAUAACAUUGAAGAUCCCAUAUGGCCAAAUAUGGGAGAAGAUAUGGAUGCAGCAUCCGAAGAACGAUGGAACCACAGGUCAGGACGUAGCACACCAACAAGUGGCAACUCUGGACUAUAGCGGAAGCUUAGUGGACCCUACAGUGGAAGCAAUGGUGAUAAUAAUAUAUGUAUUUGCAUUCGUAUGUAUUGUGUACCAUCCUUUGUGAUAAGGAUGAGAGUGUGAGUGUGACAUAAAGUAAGGAGUGAGUUGUAAAGUAGAUUCCUUAGAGAUAAGGAUCAAUAAUGACUACAGUGUGUAAUAGUGGUUCCCUUGUGCCUAUAAAAGGGAACCCUUGGUUUGUAUCUAGGCAUCGAGUCUUGGAGCCUAAAUCUAGUGUAUUGUAAAUCUCUCAUUCCUCUUAAUGAAGUAACCUUCCUCUGUUCUGAAAUAAACCCAUUUCAUGGUUAGACCAUUGACCUGAAUUAAUACCUUAAUGGCAUCUGUGAGAGAUGGCUUGUGUAUGUCAAGGGUGAAGUUGGGUUCAACUUGGAGAACAACAUGACCUUGGUUGAGUCCUGCUUCGACAGCAAUGAGAAGAAAAUGCACUUUUUGGAAUCUCAGGCUGAAGGAUUUUUGGUGCUUUAACUAAUCUCAUUUGACAAUGUAAAUAUAUGGCUUCAAUUUCUUUAAAUGUAAUAGCAAGUGUUGUUUUCGACCUCUGUUCUUUUAUGCAUUGCUUACAUGCCGUGAUUUCAUUAACCUAAAUUUAAGAACUGUUUGAGGGAAAUACAUCGAGGAGACCAGACGUGAUGAGCAGGUGUUUGGUGGUGGAGUUCUGCGAGCAGGAAUAUUCUCCUCGUCCACGAAUAUGCCAUUCGCGAGACCGAAUUCAUGUUAGAGGCAUAAGGUCAUUCCUGCUAAGGGUCGAGGCGAGGAGACCCGGUCAACGGCAGUUGGCAAGACGUGCCUUCCUAUCCGAGAAUCAAGGCACGAGGUCCAUCUCCAUUUGCCCACAAUGACGACAAUGGGGCAUCCACAUCCGAGGGUGGGGAGAAUAACGGGCGUAAACUGCGGAAGAUCGGGACUCAGAGGAAGCCUAUAAAAAGGUAGCCAACAAAGGUAAAAGGGUUAGAUUUUUUGCUAUUUGAACUAAGAAAAUAGAGAACUCGAAGGUCUGAGAUUAGUGAAAAGCCAUAAGAUCCGUGGCAAGCAUUCCCAGAACCUUCAUAUCUGACUUGAGCGUCGGAGGGUUUACGCCGGGAAAACAACCGGCGUGCUCUGACCUGUUUCUGUGGACGCAAGGAUACUUAGAGAAGAAAGCGUACGAGGAGAGAUCCUGAUCGAGGUGAGGUUGAUCGAGCAGACAUCCUGGUCGUUGGAAGGUGUAACCAGAAUCUCGCAUCAACAAGAACAAUUUCAUAUAAUUUUUUUUCUGCUUUUCUUUUAUCAUUUAAAAACAAUACUACGCACACACACACGCAUAUAUUUCAGAAAGCAUUUAAACAAAGCAACCGAACGUUGCUGGUUUCUAUUAUUACAUCGACAACAAUAAAGCAAAGAAGCAACUGAAAGUUAUCUUCAUAUGAGAAUGAAAGCUUUUCAGCAGCAUAAACCUUUCACUAUUCAAUUCCAAACAUGUUCCUCAACAUGAUAACAAAUUCGUAGACCUUUUCUAGGUCUAGAAGGAUCCUGGCAACAGUAUCUCUUUGCAUGCACUUGUUCAUCCAUGCUGAGAAUUUGGGGCACUCAUUCUCAAGCUUAAAUCCCCCAAAUUUCUCAACCGCGUAAAACCAACAAGUCAGUGGAAUGGAAAUGACAUCAACGAAUCCAAAGCUAUCCCCGCCAAAGAAAUCCUUCUCCCCUAAAGCGCCCUCAAGUUGCUUCAAAAUCUCUAUAAAUUCAUUCUUCGCGGUCUCUGGGACCUCGCCCUUGCUUUUCCAUAUGUUGCAUACUGCAUCGAAUACCUGCCAAAAAAGUGGUGUCAUCUUUUAAGUUCACAUUUAGAAAGAUACAAACAUUUACACUUGAGAAUUAUAGACUGACCUUCUUGUCAAUAAAAUCUUGCCUUAGCUCUCUCAUAAGCACAGGAUGGGAGAAGUGGUGGCGAAGGCCAAGUCUCGUCAAUGUAGUUAACUAUAAUAGUGGAUUCACACAAUGGUUUCCCAUCGUGCAGCAAAACUGGGACUUUCUUGUAGAUGGGUUUGAUUUGAGCAACAGGUCACUCUUGCCCCCAAACAAGUUCUCAGCUCUGGCUUCAUAUUCAACUCCUUUCUCAGCCAAUGCAAUCUUUGCUCUCAAGCAAAAUGGGCUAGCCCAACAAUCCAAAAGAACAACCUCUCCCUUCGACAUAUUCACUUUCUUUGUUCUUGUUUCUUUUACUUGGUUGAUAGUAAUUAAACCUUGAGUAUCAAGGUUGGCAUUUAUAAAGGAUAAAAGAUGAAAUUCCCAAAGUUUGUGUCGCAAUCAACGUUUGUUCGUUGGCACUUCCUUAAAGGAUGUGGCAUUAUUCUUAUCAUUUCUUAGUUUUUGAAGCUAACUGUUUUACUUGGCUUUCAACAUGCACAAGAACAAGUUUGUCUUGUGCAUACGGAGUUUACUAUGGACAAGCCGAAUUGUAAGUAACCAUUUACACUAAUCAAUCGGUAUUGUCCAAUGAAAAUAAGUAAUGUAAACUUAUCAAAAAAAAAAGUAAUGUAAAAAGUGUCUAGGAUUUUGCCUAAUAUUUCUUAAAAUAGGCUAAUUAAGCCCAAUUCUGGUGCUAGAUUGGUUCAACUUUGAAUCAAACUUGGAAACAUUUUGCUUUAGAUUAUUAUUAUUAAUUUAGAAGAGUCAAAAAGCUAAGAGUAUCGUUGGUAAAGCUCAAACAUGUGUAAUAUCACAUAUUACUUCUUUUUUUUUUUUAUACAAGUAAUAUCACAUAUUACUAGUGAGUGAGUUUCAUAAACUUUCCUAUUGAAAAAGACACAUUUUGGGUUGUAAAUCCUAACACAAUAUUUAUUCAGUUGUUGAGCCUGAAAUAUUACAGAUAUAUCAAAUAUUAUUUGAUGUGGGCGCACAACCCUGCGUCUUCUUAAUUAGGACAACCAAUGAAACCCUGCGUCUUCUUACAUAACUUGUAUGUACACAUUGGCGGGAUAUCCCAAUUAUGUACUCGUUUGUCUUCAUGUGUUUUAAAAAAAUCUAUUGUAAUGGAUAUAUUGUAAAUUUAUCUAAUUGCUUGUUAUAAUGCUUCUAUUGCGGUGUUAUUCGAGCUGUCAUUUUCAGUUUUAUUUUGUUUUUUCUUUAAACAUAGUUAAUUUGAAAUCCAUUACACUUGAAUCAUCAAAUAAGUGAUUCUCGAACAUAAUUGCUGUUGUUACUCGAAUAAGAAAAGAAAACAAAGUAUAGCUAAGAUAAAAGCAAAUGGAAAUGAGAGCAACGUGAUUUUGCAAAGAGAACUUCACACUAUCAUAAAACCAAAAACAUUAAAAUUUAAAACUUAAAUAACAACACACCAAAGCCAAAUAACGACCCACUAGAAUCAUGGUCCAAAGAUUGUACCAUGAUCACAACAUGAACUACAAAAAAAUAACCAACACCUGAAAAGUAGGAACAGUUUGAAACUUUCAACUAAAGUGGGAAAGACCAGGAUGGCACUGCAUGCCCAGCCCACCAACAUUAAAUGCUUUUUUCCCUUAUAAUUUAUCAGUCACAUAAUUUAGAGUGAAGACUUUAAUGCUGUGUUUACUUGCUGGAGUGGGAGUGAGGAGUGUGGAUUCCUCCCACUCCAGCGUUUACUUUCUCUGAAUGGGAAGGGAGUGGGAAUUCCACUCCGUGGGCCCCACCCAUUUUUGGAGUGGGGAGUGGGAGUGGGACUCCCAUAUUCCCACUCCCACCUCUCCCUUUUUUACCCUUUUAUUUUUUUAAUUUAAUUUAAUUUAAUAUUUUAUAAUUAAUAAAAUAAAAUAAAUAUUAUUAUAUUUAUUUGAAUAAUAAUAUUAUAUUUAACUAAAUAAUAAUUUGCAUUGAUUCUAAGUUAAAAUUAUUUUAAAAUAAUAUUAUUAUAUUAAUAGAGAAUUAAUAAAUAUAAUAUUAUUAUAUUUAUUUUAAAAAUAAUAGUACUAUAUUUAUUUAAUAUUAAUAAAUAGUUUAUUCUAAGAAAAUAUUAAUUUUGUACUAAAUAAUAUUAUAUUAUUAUUUUAUAUAAUAAUAAAUUUAAUAUAAUUAUAUUAAAUAAAAUAAGGUUUCAUUUUGUAUUAAAAUUAAUAAUUUAUUGUUGAUAAUUAAGAAUAUUAAUAAUUAUAAUAAAUUUACAAAUAUAAUAAAAUAAAUAUUAUUCAUUAAAUAUAUUUUUUAUUAGUUUUGUAAUUAAAAAUUAUAAUUCUUUAAAUAAGAAUAAAAUUGUAAUUUGAAACUAUUUACUCCCAAUCCAAGACAAAGUAAACACAUAAAUUGGAUUUUGAUCUCUAUUCCAUGCUUCCAUUCCAGUGUAAGUAAACAACCUACUCUCACUCCCACUCCACACUCUCAAUCCUAGGAUUUCCACUCCUCAGGAUUCCCAAUCCAAUCCAAAAAGUAAACGCUACCUAAAAGCAAAUAAAUGAAUUGGCUGAAUCUAGCUAGGAUGCCAGGAUGGGCACGGAUCCACAGAUAACAAGUAACAGUCUUUAAAUCUUCUGUUGUAAGUUCUUACGCCCCUUUUUUUUUAUACGACGAACCCCCGAUUCUACCCUCCAAAAUCAACAAUAGAGAAUUUAGUCUUAGCCUCUCAAGAUGCACUCAAACCUAAGGAUGGCAAUGGAUCAGAUCUGACCCAAGAUCCAUGUGAUCCAAAUCCAAUUGGAUCGAAUUUGGGUCGGAUUAAAAUAGAUUUGGAUCGGAUUUGGAUAUCGAUGCGUGGAUCUAAGGCGGAUCUGGAGCAAAUUCAGAUUUAUCUUAAUAUCUAUAUCCAAAUCCAUAUCCACUCACCAUUUAAUGUAAUUUUAUUUUAAAAAAUUCUUAACAAUUAUGUAAUUAUAAAUGAUGAUAAAAUUUAUUCAUUAGCAUGUAUUUAAGAAUCUUAAAACUUAAAGGUACUUAAUUGAUAAUAAGAUAAAAAUUUAUCAAGUGUAAAAUAAAAUUAGGAUAGUCUGCCCUAAUUUUUUUAAGUUUUUCACUCUACAAUUUAGUCUCUUUUUUCCUCUUUAGUCUACUCUCGCUUCUCCACUUCAUUUGAAUGCUUGGAUCAGUUCUUUAAUUGUUAGGAAAAUCCAUAGACUUGAGUUUAUUUUUCUAUCAUUUUCUCAUAAUCUUAUUUAUUUUGUAUAAUCACUAAUCAAUGGUGGCUAUCAACUAUAAAAUAAUUAUGUUAAUCAUAUAUUUAGUUAAAUAUGAUCAUAAUAAAAAUAAUAAAGCACUGAAUAUAAUAAAUCAUUUUUAACUUAUAUGUUAUUAUUUAAUGAUAUAGGAAUGAUGAUGGUGUGCAGUGGAUAUCAAGAUAGUAAAUGAGACAUUAGAAUAUUAUAAUGAUCUUAUUCAUGCAAUUACUUUUUAUCGAUAUUUUAUUAUCUUUUUUAUUUGUUUAUUUUGGUGUAAAAGCAGAAGCUACAAUACUUAUUAGAUUUUUUGUACAAAUUAUAUAAUUUAAUUGUUACCAAUGCAUUUUAGUCUUAAAUUUUUUUUCUAAAAAAAAUUGAUCUCUUAUUAUUGAGAUUUAGAAUUCAUGAUGGAUCUAGAGCAUAUUUAGAUUGUAAUUUUUCAAUUUGGAUUUGGAGCAGAUAUAGAUCUUUAUUUUUGUUUCGAAUCUAGAUAUGGAGCGAAAAUAUAGAUCCAUAACGGAUCUGGAGCAGAUACAGAUCUUAAUUUUUAUUACGGAUCUGGAUAUGGAGCAAUGUAGAUCCAAUCCAUAUCUGCUCCAUUGCCAUCCCUACUCAAACCUUGAGUAUGGUUUUUACUUACGUAUUAUCGAUUAUGAUUUUAACUAAUCUCUCUUGUCAACGAACUUUUGGUUGAUUAUGGACGCCUUUUUUUUUUUAAUCUAAACAAUAUAAGAUUUCGUACAAAUUGAAUUUGUAUAGACCUCAUCAUUUGGAACUUGUGUUGUAUCCAAAAAUAUCACCCAACCCAAAGAAAAUAAGUUCAAUUCUAUAACUCAUUCAUUUUUCUUAUAGCCCAAUGGAUUGAGAGAAUAGGCGUCAGAGGAAACUUUAUUUCAAUAUAUAAAUAUAGGCUUGCAUACAAUGCAAAAUCAUAUAUUCGAACCAAUAGGCGAAGCAUUGUCCCUCGUUGAUCCACAUGAGCCAACUAGUCAAAGUGGAUCCACAUGAGCCACUUUACAGACUGGGCAUGCAUUGCAACUGUUCAUUUUUGCUUCUGCCAAUAAAGAGUUGAUAGUAACCAAAGAUUGUAUUCUUUAUUGUCAUUUGAGAGUAACCAAUUACUUAGGCAGUCACGUAAGUUGCUGGUUGGCCUCGCACAUUUUUGACCAGCUUGUUUCUGAAGGAAACCAGCUGAGCUGCAACCUCUUCCAUGCUCAUUCGUUCUCUCGGCAACUCUGAAGAGCAAGUGACUCCGAUUGCCAGUACUGAAACCAAGCACUCUUUAACACUAAAACUUCUGGUCCAUUGUUUGUGAGCAUUGGCCUUGCUUGUCUCCCCUUCUUCUCUUUCUACAAGAAGCACUGGAUCAACAAUUUCAGCGAGUCUUUCAGGAAGAGCUUCCUUGACAAAAUUAUGUAGGGUUAGAUUGCCUGUAAACAUCUCAUUCGUCGGCCCCUUUCCUGUAAACAUUUCCAGCAAGAGUAUUCCAAAACUGUACACAUCUCCACUUGUUGAGACUUCGCUCCCCAUUCCGUACUCUGCAAUUCGAAAACUAAAAUUGUUGGUUCAACUAGUAAAAUCUCUAAGGAUUGAAAGACAAGUUAAUUAAAUUAUUGUAUUUACCUGGUGCAGCAUAACCAACGGUUCCUUUUACUCCAACAGAGCUUGAUUGAUUAGAUGACAAGUUAUUGGUGGCUUCCGGAAGGAAUUUUGCUAAUCCAAAAUCACCUACAUGGGCAGUCAAUUCACCAUCCAGAAGAACAUUGCUUGGCUUGAGAUCACAAUGGACUAUUGGAGUUUCGCAAUAAUGAUGAAGAUAAUCCAAUGCGGAAGCAACAUCAACGGCAAUAUUCAGUCUUUGCAGGAGAUUUAAGUUCCUUGGUGCCUCAGCGUUCGGAUGCAACCAUUCCUCCAGGCUCCCGUUGACCAUGAACUCAUAAACUAAAGCCUCGAAAUCAUUUCCUUGGAAGUCAACACUUGCACAGGAAGUUAUUAUUUUGACAAGAUUCCGAUGCCUAAUACUCCUCAAGGCUUGACACUCCGCUAUGAAACUCUUUGAAGCUCCACGAUGCUGAAGAUUAAGUACCUUAACUGCCACCAGCGUUUCAUGAUCAUCGUGACUGAGGAUUCCUUUAUAGACCGAACCAAAGCUACCGGCACCAAUCAAGUUUUCCAAAGAGAACCCAUCAGUUGCUUUGAACAGAUUCUCAUAGGACACUCGUAAAACCGAAGCCAAGAAUGCUGAUGGAGUGGCCGGCUCCCUUUUUGAUUUGCUCCGCCAGGAAGUAAUUAUAAAACACGACAUCCCUGUCACUAACAAAAUUACUGUAACUACAGGAAUCAUCAGUUUCAGGGAACGGGAACGUGACUGCUUGGAUUCUUUGAUGGAACAAGUAGAUAAAUGCAACUCAGAUAUGCCACCACAGAGGUUAUCAUUUCCAUCAAGAGAUAUAGCACUUGAAUUGCUGAAGACUCCUUUUACUGGUACUUCACCCUCAAAAUGAUUAAAAGACAGAUUUAAAUUCUGCAAAAAGGGAAAGUUUUCCAAAUAUUUUGGAAUCCGGCCGGACAAAUUGUUCCGCGAAAGAUCAAGAUUCUCAAUGCCUCUCAAAGAACUGAAUGACGAAGGUAUAUUCCCUUGAAAGAAAUUACCAUUCAUGAUGAGUUGCACCAACAAAAUGCAACUUCCUAAACUACUUGGAAUUUCACCAGACAAUUUGUUCUCAGAUAUAUCUAUAAAACCCAGAUUUUUCAAGAUACCAAAAUUUGAGGGCAUAGGACCAUUCAACUGGUUUUGAGAUAGAUCAAGAUAGAUUGACAAGGAAGAGAGGCCAAUUACUUCAGUGGGUAUGGUACCACUGAGGUUGUUAUUAGAAAGAUUUAAUGAUAUUAAGUUUUGGCAUUUCCCCAGACUUGAUGGAAUGCUUCCCUCUAACAUGUUUUCCUCAAAAUUUAGUGUAGUUAACAAUGUCAAAUUUCCUAUAGAAGAUGGAAUUUCCCCCCAAAACUUGUUCCCCUUCAGGCCCAACCUCUGCAGCUUUUGAAGAUCUCCUAUACUUUCCGGAAUUCGGCCUGUGAAUUUGUUGCCCCCCAGAUGUAAAAGCUCCAAGUUAACAAGAUUUCUUAAUCCACUUGGGAUAUUUCCGAACAACUGAUUGUUUCCAACUGAUAAUAUUGCAAGUCGGUUUGACAAGUUCCCUACUGUUUCAGGUAACAUUCCACCAAAAUUGUUAUCACUAAUUUGCAGUAGCUCUAGUCUAGAAGCGUUAACCAAAGAAUUGACAAAUUCCAAGUUAUCUUUUUCCCCAUAAUUUCCUAAGUGAUUCUGAGAAAUACUAACCCAUUGGAGUUUAUGUAAAUUUUCCAAACUAGGCACCCUUCCACUGAAUCCAUUCUUUGCGAUUGUAAGUCUCAUUAGAUUUGAGGCAUUGGAUAUUGAAGCCGGAAUAGGUCCGGUAAACUGAUUACCACCAACGUUUAGUACUUCAAGUUUAGGAAGAGUGAAGCCUAAGUCUGAUGGAAGGCUUCCUUGAAGUUGGUUAAAAGGAAAAUAAAAACCACUAAGCCAAGACAAGUUGUAGAUUGAAAAGGGGAUUUCACCUGAUAGCUUAUUUGCUCCAAACGAUAUAUAACGCAUCAUCUUAAGCUCGCUCAGGGUUUCAGGAAUUUGUCCCACAAAUUGAUUUGCAGCUGCUGAGAGGACCUGGAGUGAUGACAAAUUGCCGAAGGAAGGUGGGAUUUCUCCUGACAAAUUGUUGGAGUGUAUUACGAGAAUCCGGAGCUUUGGUAAGGAGCCCAGUUUCCCUGGAACUUUCCCCACUAGCUCAUUGAAGUCUAACCAGAGGGAUUCAAGGUUAACGCAAUGCGAUAUGUUGUCAGGAAUUUGACCUCCGAAUGUAUUGUUGUCCAGCCUUAAAAUUCGUAACCUGAACAGAUAUCCAAUCGCUUGAGGGAUUUCGUUGCGGAGGCUAUUGUUUUUUAGAUCUAACACUCUGAGAAAACUCAAAUUACCAAUGUGAGGCGAAAGAGACCCCUGCAAGAGUAAAGAUGGAAGACGUAAUCCAGUCACCCUUUGGUGCCGUCGACUGCAAGUGACACCUUUCCAUUGACAAAAGUGCCUGGAAUAGUUCCAUGAACUCAAAACCUCAAGAGGGUCAUGAGUAACUUUGGCCUUGAAUUCAAGCAAUGCAAGUUGAUCAGUUUCAUUGCUUUUGAGCAUAUAAUCGGUUGACUGCAAGCUGAAGCUGACGCAACAGAAAAUAAAGAAACAAAUGCUUACAAUGAUUGAACUCAUCAUGUUUACAAAAUCCAUUUAACUGCCGAAAGGAAAUUAAAAUGAUAAAACUUUUAUAGAGGUUGGUAAGAUAAACUAUGUUUGUAUAUUUUUUGCAAUGAUUUAUGGACUCUGUACUUGAUGCUCAAAUGUGAACCGGCUGGCACCGUGACAGUGAAACUAAUGCUUUUUAUUUUUCUAAUAAUAUUAAUUAUCAAAUUUAUUACUAUUGUAAGAAUAAUAUAAUACAGCUUUUCCUUUAAGGAAGACCCGCCACACUAACUUUUGACGCUCUAUCAGUUUCCAGUAUUUUGUCAUUUUGUAUUGUAGUGCUUAAUCCACAAUGAAUAUAAAACAAUUUAAUCAACAUUAUUAGAAAAAGAAAAAAAGUAGGAGAAGAAAGUUAAGUAUGAUGGAUGGAGGGUCAGAUUACUGUUAAAUGACUUAAAGGUUUAAAGCACCACAGGAAUCAACGUUUCACAACGCUUUUUUCCCUUUCUGAAAUAUUCGGUGCAUUAGUUGACUAGAAUUAUAAUAUAUCAAACAACUACAAGAAAUAUUUUAAUUUAUCAUUUUACUAUUAUAUAUUUACAUAACUUAUCAUUUUACUAUAUUUCCGUAGUACCAUUAGUUGACUAGAAAAAUGUUAAUUUUACUUUUGAAAAAAAACACAAAUGGAUAUAUUAAAUAUUUUUAGCUACUUUUUAUUUUGAAUUUAUAAUGUUGUAAUACUUUGUGUUAUUAUUACUUUUUAUUUUGCAAAAACAAAUUAUAUAAAGAGAAAAAUUAAUAUUUUAUCAAUUAACUAAUUGAUCUAUAUUAAUUGAAAUAUAAUAAAUUAAUAUUUUAUCAAUUAACUAAUUGAUCUAUAUUAAUUGAAAUAUAAUAAAAUAAUAUUUUAUUUUUAAAUAUAAUAAAAUAAUUUUCCCAUGAAAGAAAAUGAUGAGUUGUUUCAACGUAAUGCAGCUGCCUAGACUACAUGGAAUUUCACCAGGCAAUGACAAUUUAUUCUCAGAUAAAUCUAACGCCACAACAUUUAUCUAGUCACCCAAAUUUGCAGGCGUUCGUUUUGAGACUUGUCAAAACUUUUUCCAAAAAUUCGGGAUUCAGGUCAUAUCAGGCCGGUUAUGUUUUGAAAAACUUGUAAAUUAUCAGUGAUCAAACUUCAAAACUUUGCAAAUAGGUCAAAAUACGGAAAAAAACUUGAUAUAUUAUUGAAUACUCAUUUUGUUUUGCAUUAAUAUAACGCUAUGGGUGAUAUCUAGUUCUGUUGGUAAAAUUUCUUGGGUUGAAAACAAGAAAACUAGCAUUUCAAACUCACUCAUAUGGAUGGGAAAGAAAUUUAGUUAUUAUUGGAUUAAAAAAUAAUAAUGAGAAUUAGAAAAAAAUUAUAAGGCUUCAACGAGAUUUGCUAAUCAUGUAUAGAUUAAUAUGGAGAUUAAGAACAUCACCUAAGCUAAUUAUUGAACUUGAAAGUUUAGGAGAAAAAAUUAUAUGGGUUUGGCCAUCAAUUUAGCAUUCGGAACUUAUUGUUUAGGAAGCUACGGCGGGUUUCGUAGUGGGACUUAUCCUCUUUAAUGCAUAUGGUGAUUUUAAACCAACAUAUAUAUAAUCCUAUUAUAAAACUCAUCAAACCUUCUAAAAUAACAUGUUGAGAUAGUGUGCUAGAUCCAUAUAAAUAUUUCUCCAACUUCUUAGCUUGAAGCGAUAUUCAUUUCCAUUGAUAGUUUAAUGGGCAAAGCCUUUUGAAUUCUCCAUGUUAUCAAGUUAACUUUUGCUGGAAAAUGCAAUGCGGAUAUGAAUAGAAUUUUUUGUGCAAACAAUUUUUCUAUGUUGACACAUCCUCUGGAACUUUCAGUAAAUUUUAUGGAGAAGCUUCAAUUUCUUGGUUGUUGAUUUCGAAUACAUUAAGCUCUUAUUUGGUAUUAAAGUAUUGUGGGCUAAAAGCUAUAGUUUUUAUGGAAAGAAAUUUGUAAUUGCGAAAUAAAAGUUGAUUCAGUGUGAUAAAUAUAAUUUCAGAAUAAAAAAUAAAGUAAACUUCGAAAUUAUAAUAGUAAGUAUUUAUUAAAUACUUUAGUGUUGCAGUAACUGUUUACUACAAUAUCAAAUAGGGGGCUAGUACAACAAGUUGUUAUAUUAAAAGUCUCCCAAAAAGGAAGAAGUGACUUAAAAAAUUAAAAGAAUGCAGGAGCUGAAGUUGGCAAUUUUGUAAAUUGCAAUGGCGAUUGUGAUAUAGUAAAAUCCUUCAAUGAAUCACAGCACUAGCGAUUUCGUAAUAUACAGUAGCGGCAAUUUUGUAAAAUUGAAGUAGUGAUAGUUUUGCAAAUAAAAGUAAAAACUUUUUCCCAAAAUUUGGCUGAGCAAAAAGCCAGCUUAGCCCACACUCUCCUUCGCCACUGGUUGAUGAGCUCUUCCUUCAAUUUUUGAACUUGAAGUGAUGCCCCAUCAACGUCCAGAAUUUUUAAAGUCUCCCCACUGUACAAGUUAAACAAUAAAGUCAGAAUGAUGACGGAGUUACAAACAAUCAAAUAUGAUCCUAAUGAUUCUUUUUAUACACUCACCCGUGCAUUGAUGUGUUUAAUUGAUAUAUAUUUAAGCAGAAAUUGAAGUUUGAACCUGAUUAAUUAGAUGCGAACACACAUUCAUGAGUAAUUACUUAAAAUUAAUUAACCAAAAGAGUAAAUAUAGGAGGAAAUCGAUCAUAUGCGUGCGGACACCACAAUCGAAUUAUAUAUUUAUAUCACCACAGCACAUAAAUUUUAUUCGAAUGAUAUAUGAUUAAUUAAUCAAUUUUUAAUAACAAUUAAAUUAUAAUGUCAAUUGUGCACAUAAGAUUUUUUUUCUUGAUGAAAUUAUGAAAGUUAGUAAUUAUUUUCCAUUUUUUAAAUAAUAGUUGUUAAUACAAAUCAAAAAAAUAUUGGGACUUGAGAUCAGGGUCUACUUGAGUUAGAAUUUUUUAUUAGAGAAGCUAUUAGCCAGCAAUACAAAAUAAAGAAGCAACACAAGAUAAAGAGUAAUAUAUUAUAGAAAGAUUUUAUUCGUUUCAAGUGUGUAUCAAACAAAGAGAUAUUUAUAGUUACAUAAUUACUACAUGAAAUUAAUGAAAACAUUAUGGAUCAUACUUCCUUGCGAGAUAGUGAAAGUUAUAGAGAAGGCAAAGGUUGCUAGUGGAAGAUAGUAGAGAGAUUAAGAGAUGUAUGUUAUAAACAUCCAGAUUUAUUUUAAUAAAUUCAUAGCAUUUUUUCCCCUCAAAUAAUAGGGUGUAGAGAACAAUUGGAAGGAGUUUACGCAGCCUAUAAAUUAAUACUCUGACGAAUUAAUAUCCUCUAUUAUAUAAUGACUUUUUUUAAGCACACUAAUAGGCUAAAAUGACAGUUCCAAUAAAUAAAUAAAAUAAUAUAUUUUUUUUGAAAACCCUUACAUAAUAUUGUGGUCCUACUCAUAUCAUAAAUUAAUAAUUUUUAAAUUAUAUAUAAUUAUUACACAUAAAUUAUAUAUUUUUUAAUAAAUUCAUAAUAUUUUUUCUCAAAUAAUAGGGUGUAGAGAACAAUUAGAAGGAGUUUACAAGACUCGCCUAUAAAUUAAUACUCUGGCGAAUUAAAAUCCUCUAUUAUAUAAUAAUUUUUUUUAAGGUUGCUAGUAGGCUAAAAUGAUAGUUCCAAUAAAUAAAUAAGAUUAUAUUUUUUUUUAAUGAAAACCCUUACAUUACAUUAUGGUCCUACUCAUAUAAUAAAUUAAUAAUUUUUAAAAUUACAUAUAUAAUAUUUUAUUUUAAAAAUAUGAUUUUAUUUUUUAUUAUUUUUUCUUGAAAUUUAAAUAUAGUUAGAUUUCAUCUCUAAUUUUUCUUAUUACUUUUGAGGUUAAAUUUUGAAAUUGCAAAAAUUUUGAAUUUUUUUGGUUAAUUAAAUCUGCAGUGAGUGUAUAAGAUGAUUAGAUUAGUAAAAUAUAAUAAAUUUUUAGUUGAUUAAAUAUAUGUUCAUUUAAUAUGUCUUGUGUAUACAGAGUUUACUAAGGACAAGCCGAAUAGUAAGUGAGCAUUUACACUAAUCAAUCGUGUUGAGUUGUGUCUCAUAUUGGCUAGUAAAGGGGAGAUACUUGGGUUUAUAAGAAGGUAUGUCACUCCACCUAAAAGACUAGUAUUUUGGGUUGGAUACCUAGAAAUCUUAUGUUAAGUCCCCUCAACAAAUCGGUAUUGUGCAAUGAAAAUAAGUAAUCUAAAAAUUGCCUAGGAUUUUGCCUUAUAUGUCUCAAAAUAAGCUAAUUAUGCCCAAUUAUGGCACUUGAUGGUUCAACUUUGACAUCAAAGUUGGAAACGUUUUUCUCUAGGGUGAGGCUAUUUGCACUUGAAUAUCUACUUUGAACACUCAUUUACUCAGCGCACUCAAUUAAUAAUUUCAAACUAUUAAAUUUUACUUGGAACACUCUUUUGAAUUCCUAUAUUAUCCACAUUUCUUUAAUUACUUUAUUUCUUCUUUGUACCCAAUAAAAUAUUCAUCAUCACAAACAAAAUAUCUAACUUUUUUUUUCCAUUUUUAUUCACUUUUAUUUUCUGUUCAUAAUCUGUUUUGAUAUGUAUUUGUUCUUCUCUUAUUGCUACAAUUUAAUUCUGUUUGUCAACCCAUAAAAGCAUGCGAAUUGAGUGAAAAUCAAAGUGCAAAUUUAAAACAAAAUCCUUUGAUUUACUUGCGUUUUCUUAUGUUGGAGUGGUGCAAUUUGUUGUUUGUCCUCCACCUCUAUUUUUAAUUCCUUUUGUUUCAGUUAUAAAGAUGAUCAUGAACAUGUUACUUGAUGUUUUCCUAGCAAUUCUAUUAACCAAAAAAAUGAAAAAAAAAAGUUUAGUCCAUAAGUAUAGACAAUGUUUUCAUUUGAAUAUUGAUUCAAUUCUUCGUUGUUAAUGUGGUUUAUUGUAGAUAAAAUAUAAUGUUAGAUAAAAAUUUGUUAUACUGUAUUUUAUAAUUGUCCUUAAUAGAAAAUUACAUUAAGGUUAAUUUAGUAAUAUAAAAAUUAUUAAAUGUGAGUGUCCAAAGUAAAUUUUAGAGUGCAUAUAGUCUCACCCUUUUCUUUGUGUUAUUAUAAUUAAUUUAGAAAGAGUUAGAAAGCUAAGAGUAUCCUUAGUAAAGCUCAAAUAUGUAAUACAUAUCACUAGUGAGUGAGUUUCAUAAACUUUCCUAAUUAAGUAGAUGAAUUUUGGGUUGUAAAUCCUAACACAAUAUCUAUUCAGUUGUUGAGCCUAAAAUAUCACAACUAAAUCGAUAUUGUCCGAUGUAGUCAUGCAACCCUACAUCUUCUUAGUUAGGACAAUUCAUGAAACCACUUAUUUGGGAUGUAGGAGAUGAUACAAAAUUUGUAUGUGCACGUUGGCUUAAUAUCCCAAUUACACACUCGUUUGUCUUCAUGUGCUCCGAAAAGAUCUAUUGUAAUGGAUAUAUUGUAUCUUUAUCAAAGUGCUUGUUAUAAUGAUUCUAUUGUGGUGUUAUUCGAGUUGUCACUUUUAGUUUUUGAUUAUCUUUUUUAAACAUAGUUAAUUUGAAAUGUUCUUUAAUAUCCAACACACUUGAGAUCAUCAAAUAAGUGAUUCCCGAACAUAAUUGCCUCUGAUCAUUUUGUUUGUGCCAAUAAAGGGUUGAUACAAACCAAAGACUUCUUGUCUUUAUUGUCAUUUGAGAGUAAUCAAUUACUUACGCAGUCACAUAAGUUACUGGUUGGCCUCGCACAUUUGAGAGUAACCAAAUGGAAAUGAGAGCAACGUGAUUUUCCAAAGAGAACUUCACACUAUCAUAAAACUGAAAACAUUACAAUUUAAAGCUUAAAUAACAACACACCAAAGCCAAAUAACGACCCACUAGAAUCAUGGUCCAAAGAUUGUUCCAUGAUCACAACAUGAACUACAAAAAAAAAAAAAAAAAAAAAACCAACACCAAAAAAGUAGGAACAAUUUGAAACUUUCGACUAAGCAACAUUUAUGAUCACAUCAGCAGUCCUAAACACAUCUUCUAACAAUUGCAACUGUUCAUUUUUGCUUCUGCCAAUAAACAGUUGAUAGUAACCAAAGAUUGUUGUCUUUAUUGUCAUUUAAGAGUAACCAAUUACUUACGCAGUCACGUUAGUUGCUGGUUGGCCUCGCACAUUUUUGACAAGUUUGUUUCUGAAGGAAAGCAGCUGAGCCGCAACCUCUUCCAUGCUCAUUCGUUCUCUCGGCAACUCUGAAGAGCAAGUGACUCCGAUUCCCAGUACUGAAACCAAGCACUCUUCAACACUAAAAUUUCUGGUCCAUUGUUUGUGAGCACUGGUCUCGCUUGUCUCCCCUUCUUCUCUUUCUACAAGAAGCACUGGAUCAACAAUUUCAGCGAGCCUUUCAGGAAGAGCUUCCUUGACAAAAUUAUGCAGGGUUAGAUUGCCUGUAAACAUCUCAUUCGUCGGCCUCUUUCCUGUAAACGUUUCCAGCAAGAGUAUGCCAAAACUGUACACAUCUCCACUUUUUGAGACCUCACUCCCCAUUCCGUACUCUGCAAUUUGAAAAUUAAAACUGUUGGUUCAACUAGUAAAAUCUCUAAGGAAUGCAAAAGAAGUUAAUUAAAUUAUAGUAUUUGCCUGGAGCAGCAUAACCAACGGUUCCUUUAACUCCAGUAGAGCUUGAUUGAUUAGAUGACAAGUUAUUGGUGGCGUCCGGAAGGAAUUUCGCUAAUCCAAAAUCACUUACAUGGGCAGUCAAUUCACCAUCCAGAAGAACAUUGCUCGGCUUGAGAUCACAAUGGACUAUUGGAUUUUCGCAGUAGUGAUGAAGAUAAUCCAAUGCGGAAGCCACAUCAACGGCAAUAUUCAGUCUUUGGAGGAGAUUUAAAUUCCUUGGUGCCUCAGGGUUUGGAUGCAACCAUUCCUCCAGGCUCCCGUUCACCAUGAACUCAUAAACUAAGGCCUCGAAAUCAUUUCCUUGAAAGUCAACACUUGCACACGAAGUUAUUAUUUUGACGAGAUUCCGAUGCCUAAUACUUCUAAAGGCUUGACACUCCGCUAUGAAACUCUUUGAAGCUCCUCGAUGUUGAAGAUUAAGCACCUUAACUGCCACCAGCGUUUCAUGAUCAUCAUCAUUGAGGAUUCCUUGAUAGACCGAACCAAAGCUACCGGCACCAAUCAAGUUUUCCAAAGAGAACCCAUCAGUUGCUUUGAACAGAUUCUGAUAGGACACUCGUAAAACCGAAGCCAAUACUGCUGAUGGAGGAGGGGCCGGCUCCCUUUUUGAUUUGCUCCGCCGGGAAGUAAUUAUCAAACACGACAUCCCUGUCACUAACAAAAUUACUGCAACUACAGGAAUAAUCAGUUUCAGGGAACGGGCACGUGAUUGCUUUGAUUCUUUGAUGGAACAAGUAGAUAAAUGCAACUCAGAUAUGCCACCACAGAGGUUAUCAUUUCCAUCAAGAGAUAUAGCACUUGAAUUGCUGAAGACUCCUUUUAUUGGUACUUCACCCUCAAAAUGAUUAGAAGACAGAUUUAAAUUCUGCAAAAAGAAAAAGUUUUCAAAAUAUUUUGGAAUCCGGCCAGACAAAUUGUUCCGCGAAAGAUCAAGGUUCUGAAUGCCUCUCAAAGAACUGAAUGAUGAAGGGAUAUUCCCUUGAAAGAAAUUACCAUUCAUGACGAGUUGUUCCAACCUAACGCAACUUCCUAGACUGUUUGGAAUUUCACCAGACAAUUUGUUCUCAGAUACAUCUAGAACACCCAGAUUUUUCAAGAUGCCAAAAUUUGAGGGCAAAGGACCGUUCAAUUGGUUUUGAGAUAGAUCAAGAUAGAUUGAUAAGGAAGAGAGACCAAUCACUUCAGUGGGUAUGGUACCAGUGAGGUUGUUAUUAGAGAGAUCUAAUAAUAUCAAGUUUUUGCAUUUCCCUAGACUUGAUGGAAUGCUUCCCUCUAACAUGUUUCCGUCAAAACUUAGUGUGAAUAACAAUGUCAAAUUUCCUACAGAAGAUGGAAUUUCCCCCAAAAACUUGUUCCCCUUCAGUCUCAACCUCUGCAGCUUUUGAAGAUCUCCUAUACUUCCCAGAAUUCGGCCUGUGAAUUGGUUGUCCCCAAGAUCUAAAAGCUCCAAGUUAACAAGAUUUCCUAAUCCACUUGGGAUAUUUCCGAACAAUUGAUUGUUUCCAACGGUAAAUCUUUUAAGUCGGGUUGACAAGUUCCCCACAGAUUCAGGUAACAUUCCUCCAAAAUUGUUAAUACUAAUUUCCAUCAUCUCUAGUCUAGAAGCGUUGACCAAAGAACUGACAAAUUCCAAGUCAUCUUUUUCCCCAUUUCCUAAGUGAUUCAGAGAAAAGCUAACCCGUUGGAGUUUAUAUAAAUUUUCCAAACUCGGCACCUUUCCACUGAAUCCAUUUUUCUGGAUUGUAAGUCUCAUUAGAUUUGAGGCAUUGGAUAUUGAAGCAGGAAUAGGCCCAGUAAACUGAUUAUUACCAAAGUUUAGUACUUCAAGAUUAGGAAGAGUGAAGCCUAAGUCUGAUGGAAGGCUUCCUUGAAGUUCAUUAACAGGAAAAUCCAAAAGACUAAGCGAAGACAAGUUGUAGAUUGAGAAAGGGAUUUCACCUGAUAGCUUAUUUGCUCCGAAUCCUAUUGAACGCAUCCUCUUAAGCUCGCUCAAGGUUUCAGGAAUUUGUCCCACAAACUGAUUUACAGCUGCUGAAAGGAACUCGAGUGAUGACAAAUUGCCAAAGGAAGAUGGGAUUUCUCCUGACAAAUUGUUGAAGUGUACUGCUAGAGUCCGGAGCUUUGAUAAGGAGCCUAGUUUCCCUGGAACUUUCCCCACAAGCUCAUUGAAGCCUAACCAGAGGGAUUCAAGAUUAACGCAAUGUGAUAGGUUGUCAGGAAUUUGACCUCUGAAUGUAUUUUUCUCCAGGCUUAAUUUUUGUAACCUGAACAGAUAUCCAAUCUCUUGAGGGAUUUCGUUGCGGAAGCUAUUGUUUUUGAGAUCUAACACUCUGAGAAAACUUAAAUUACCAAUGUGAGGCGACAGAGACCCCUGUAAGAGUAAAGAUGGAAGAAGUAAUGCAGUCACCCUUUGGUGCCGUCGACUGCAAGUGACACCUUUCCAUUGACAAAAGUGCCUGGAAUAGUUCCAUGAACUCAAAACCUCAAGAGGGUCAUGAGUAACUUUGGCCUUGAAUUCAAGCAAUGCAAGUUGAUCAGUUUCAUUGCUUUUGAGCAUAUAAUCGGUUGACUGCAAGCUGAAGCUGAAGCAACAGAAAAUAAAGAAACAAAUGCUUACAAUGAUUGAACUCAUCAUGUUUACAAAAUCCAUUUAACUGCCGAAGGAAAUUAAAAUGAUAAAACUUUUGUGGAGGUUGGUAAGAUAAACUAUGUUUGUAUAUUUUUUGCAAUGAUUUAUGGACUCUGUACUUGAUGCUCAAAUGUGAACCGGCUGGCACCGUGACAGUGAAACUAAUACUUUUUGUUUUUCUAAUAAUAUUAAUUAUCAUAUUUAUUACUAUUGUAAGAAUAAUAUAUUGCAGCUUUAAAGAAAGACUCACCAUACUCCUUUUCGAGUCCUGUCAGUUUCCAGCAUUUGGUCAUUUUUUUAUUUCACCGCUUAAUCCACAGUAAAUAUAAAACAAUUUAAUCAACAAUAUUGAAAAAGAAAAAAAGUAGGACAAGAGAAAGGUAAAUACUGUUAAAUGAGUUGGGAAACGUUCAAAGCACGACGGGAAUUAAAAUUAUAAACUUUUAUAAAGGUUGGUAAGAAAAAACAUAUUUGUAUAUAUUUUUUUCAAUGAUUUAUGGACGCUAUACUUGAUGCUGAAAUGUGAACCGGCUGGCACCGGGACAGUGAAACUAAUGCUUUUUAUUUUUCUAAUAAUAUUAAUUAUCAUAUUUAUUACUAUUGUAAGAAUAAUAUAAUACAGCUUUUCCUUUAAGGAAGACCCGCCACACUAACUUUUGACGCUCUAUAAGUUUCCAGUAUUUUGUCAUUUUGUAUUGUAGUGCUUAAUCCACAAUGAAUAUAAAAGUUUAAAGCACCACAGGAUGAUGGAUGGAGUUUCACAUUACUGUUAAAUGACUUUGAAAGGUUUAAAGCACCACAGGAACCAACGUUUCACAAUGCCUUUUUCCCUUGUGAAAUAUUCAGUGCAGUCUCUCCCAGAUUUUGCUAGUGCAACAACGAGACGUCAUGCCGUUAACAAUUUUAAACUGUAAAUGACAUGUUGUUUUUACAAGACAUAUUAUGCGUCGAUACAUACCUUUUCUGGUUGUUGGUUUAUAAAAAUAUAUGAAACGGCAUGAGUGUGACAACUCUUGUAAAAUUUUUAAAAACAACAUAAUCAAUGGUAUUCUUAUCUCCCAGCUGCCGUUUGCCGUUUGGAAUUGUUCUGUAUAAGAUCUUGAUCAUCGAAUUUACCACUAGGGCGUAUGCUUUAUUUUCUCGAAUUACAUUGCUGCCUCAUCUUUUGUGUUUUCGGUUCUGUUGUGGAUCUCCUCUGUUUUUUUCUGAUUUUGGGCCCGAAGGGCACGUUAAUUGAAAUCAACAAAUCUGGUAAAAAUGACGUUAAAUUCGAUCAGAUUUACAUAUUUAAUUACAAAUGCAGUAACCCCGAUCAGAUGCAUACACUAAUUUUAUUUAUUUUGUCAGCUUUAACCUCACUGUCAUUUUGAAUAGCCUACAAGAGUCGAAUGACUAGAUUUCCAAUUUGCUAUCAUCCCCCUUGAAUGGGUUCAAGAAAUUCAGCAGGUUGCGAAACAAUAAGAUUCAUUCAAUCCGUGUAGAUAUCUAACUGACUGAAAUUAAAUAAAUGAUGAUGAUAAGAAAUUUGAAAUCAACAAAUCUCGGCACAUCUAUUCUGCAAUUUAGCCGUACUUCAAAUAAUCUUGCGAUAAAAAUUUCUUAAAAAUCUCAGAAAGAGGACAGAACAACCAAGGCAUCAGCGAAAGCAAUCGAUGUUAGGAAAUUGGUGGGUGCAGCAGUACCGCAACUAAAAUAAAAUUGGAAAUAAAAUAAAGAACAAGCACAAUAGAGGACACCAAAAAUUACGUGGUUCGGCUUUUAGCCUACAUCUACGGGCGAAGACAGAAGGAAAUAUUUUACUAGUGAAAUAAGGAUUACAAGUAUUGUAAGAUUUUAGCUCACUACCCAAAACCCCAAUACACCCAAUCUCUCACUCACUACACAUGCAAGAGUUUAUUAAACUCUUGAAAACUCUCAACACUCAAAGAAAGAAAAAUUUCUCUCAAUGGAAUUGAAUACAAAAUGAAAUGAGGAGCUCUGCCUUUUAUAGCCAAAAAAUGGCUAUUAAAUUAUUAUUUUUACCACCGUCUUCAUUCUGCUAUUUUCUUCUUUCUUCUUUUUUCUUCAUUCCAAAUUUGCUGCUGCCAAAUUCUUCAACAUUUUCUUUGGCCGGCUGUCAAAGCCAACUUUGCUUAUUCAAGGGUUCUAGAUGCAGUAGCUUCUAGAUGCAGCCAAAUUUGACAUUCUCCCACUUGGAGAUUAGAUUGAGAAUCAAUCAAUCUCCACAUCAUCCUUUCUGUUUCGCCAUAAUCAUGUUGCCUACGUUGCUGCUAGGCCACAAGAGGAUCUACUCCAGAUAAACUUGUCAGCAUUUAUUGGCUUGGUCAAAACAUCUGCUAGGUUCUCCUUCGUAUGGAUUUUCUGCAAAUCCACACUUCCAUCUUCCACUACUUCUCGAACGAAGUGAUACUGAACUCCUAUGUGCUUUGUCCUGGAAUGAAAGGCUAGAUUCCUUGCAAUGUGCAAGGCACUCUGACUGUCACAAAACACAAGAAUUUUCUGUUGUUUGUGCCCGAGCUCCUCCAAUAAUCUUUGUAUCCAAAUAGCUUCCUUGCAAGCUUGUGUAGCUGCCAUGUAUUCUGCUUCUGUUGUAGAUAAUGCCACAACGGUCUGCAGUUUCAAAACCCAGCUUACAGCUGCUCCCGCAAGUGCAAACACAUAACCAGUAGUGGAUUUCCUUUUAUCAAGGUCUCCUGCAAAAUCUGAAUACACAUAGCCCCUGACAGUAAACUCUGAUCCUCCAUAACAUAAUGCAACAUCUGAGGUUCCUCUGAUGUAUCUCAGAAUCAUCUUCACAGCUAUCCAAUGCUCUCCGCCAGGAUUCGCCAUGUAUCGACUGACUGCUCCCACUGCUUGUGCAAUGUCCGGUCUUGUACAUAUCAUAGCGAACAUUAAACUUCCCACUGCUGAUGCAUACGGUACUCGAGACAUCUCCUUCCUCUCUGCUUCAUUGCUAGGACACAUACUUGAGGAUAAUUUGAAAUUAACAGGAAAUGGGGUAGAAAUUGACUUACAAUCUUGCAUGUUGAAGCGCCGCAAGAUUUUCUUCAAGUAAUUCUUCUGUGAUAGCCAAAUCUUCCUGUUAUUUUUGUCUCGGUGAAUUUGCAUCCCUAGAAUCUUGUUUGCUGGUCCCAAGUCCUUCAUUUCAAACUCCCUAGCCAACUGUGCCUUCAAUUCUUGGAUUCGAUCUUUGUUGGGACCUGCUACCAACAUGUCAUCUACAUACAACAGCAAAAUGAUGAAAUCAUUAUCUUCAAACCUCUUGUAAUAUGCACAAUGGUCUGAACUGAGUCUGUUGUAUCCAAGGCUCAUGAUGAAGGAAUCAAAUCUCUUAUACCAACACCUCGGCGCCUGUUUGAGACCGUAUAGAGAUUUGUUCAACUUGCAAACCAAGUUCUCCUUUCCUGUUUCUGCAAAACCUUCUGGUUGGAGCAUAUAUAUUUCUUCUUCAAGUUCUCCAUGAAGAAAUGCAGUUUUCACAUCUAACUGCUCUAGAUGUAGGUCAAAUGUAGCACACAUUGCCAAGACUAUUCUGACUGUUGUGAGUCGAACCACGGGCGAAAAUAUCUCGUUGAAGUCAAUGCCUUCUUUCUGAGCAUAUCAUUUCACCACCAAUCUUGCACGAUACCGCUCCACUUGGUCAUUGCCAUCACGCUUGAUCUUGUAGACCCAUUUGUUUCCAAUGGCUUUUCUUCCAUGUGGUAGUGGUACAAGUUCCCAUGUCUUGUUCUUGUGUAGAGCUUCAAUUUCUUCCUGCAUUGCUGUCAUCCACAAAGCAACAUCUGAGCUGUUUAAAGCUUCAUGGAAAGUUGAAGGCUCUCCAUCCUCUGUUAAAAGACAGUAUGCAACGUUGAUCUCUGUGACAUACUCAGAGUGCCACACCGGCGGUCGUCUCUCACGAGUUGACCGACGAACUUCUGGAGCCUCGGACUCGACUGGUUCUUGUUCCUCGUGCUCUGGUGCUGCUUCAGAAGAAUCUGAAUCUUCUGGAUUAUUUUCUACAUAUACCGGCACAAUCUCUGACUUUUCUUUUACAGUGCCAUCAUCUCCAUCUUUCAUUUGCAGUUGAUCUUCUACAAAAAUAACAUCUCUGCUGAUGACGAUCUUGUGGGCAGUGGGGUCCCACAGACGAUACCCCUUUACUCCAUCAGCAUACCCCAAGAAGAUACAUCUUCUAGAUUUUGGAUCCAACUUUGUUCUUUCUUGGGCAUUGUACAUCACGUACACAGGACAUCCAAAUGCAUGUAGGUAGGAAUAAUCAGCUGGCUUUCCAGUCCACAUCUCCAUCGCCGUCUUCAACCCAAUCGCUGUAGAUGGUGAUCGAUUUACUAUAUAACAGGCAGUUUUGGCUGCUUCUGCCCAUAAUGAAUUGGGUAAACCAGCAGUCCUCAACAUAGCUCUUAUUCUUUCUGUAAGAGUUCUGUUCAUCCGCUCUGCCACUCCAUUUUGUUGAGGAGUGUACGCCACCGCGAACUGCCUCUGAAUACCUUCUUGCUUACAGAAAGCAAGAAACUCGCCCUCUGUAUAUUCUCCACCAUUAUCCGUCCUCAAGCACUUGAUCUUUUUACCAGAUUCAAGUUCCACACGCGCUUUGUAUUCUUUAAACACAGGAAAUACAUCUGACUUUUUCUUAAUUGGAUACACCCAACAUCUUCUAGAAUAAUCAUCAAUGAAAGUCACUAUGUACUUUGCACCUCCCAUGGAUAUAUCCGGUGAUUCCCAAACAUCAGAAUGAAUCAAGUCUAGAAUGCAUUUACUUCUAGCAAUAGAUCUACUGAAUUUUAAUCUAUGCUGCUUACUUAUAACACAAUGCUCGCAAAAUGGUCUGAAUUUUAAUCUAUGCUGCUUACUUAUAACACAAUGCUCGCAAAAUGGUAAACUUACCGAUUUGAGCCCCGGAAGCAAUUUUCGCUCAGAGAGAAUCUUCAAGCCUUGUUCUGACAUGUGACCAAGUUUGAGAUGCCACAUCAUCGUUGAUUCUUCUCCAUUUGACGCGACACACGUAUUAGCCUCCUGUAGUGUUUCUCCUCUAAGCAUGAAUAGAUUAGCACCGAUCUUUUCUGCUUUCAUCAAUACAAGCGCGCCUUUAACGAUCUUCAUAAUUCCAUUCUCCACAUGAGUUUUGUACCCAUGACUAUCCAUGUGUCCCAAAGACAAUAGAUUUUUCUUCAAGCCAUUGACAUGUCGUACCUCUCCAAUUGUGCGAAUUGUACCAUCAAACAUUUUUAUUUUGAUAGUACCAAUACCAGCGAUCUCCAAGGCAUGAUCAUCUCCCAUAUAUACAGAUCCUCCUGAGAUAGGUUCAUAUGUGUGGAACCAUUCUCUCCGAGAGGUCAUGUGCCAGGUAGCUCCUGAGUCUAUAAGCCAGACAUCAGACAAUCGUUUUCUGCCUUCUGAAACAGUUGUUGCCUCGCUGUAAAGAAUUUCGCCAUCAUCUGAGGUACUUGCUACACAACCCUGAGCAUUUGAUGACUCAGGUUCUUUUCCCUCUUUUCUCUUCUGGUUACUCCAACAUUCUUUCUUGAUGUGCCCUUUCUUGCCACAUUUGUAGCAUUUAACAUUAUUCUUACUCAUGGAUUUUGAUCUACCCUGAUUUUGACUCCCACUGGGGCCACGUUCCGUUGAUCUCCCUCUCGUCACCGAUAGCGCCUCCGCUUGCUGCGAACUUGCUUGUCUGUUUUCCUUAUUUUUCCACCUGCUCUCCUCAUUUAAUACGGAGGCUGCAACAUCGUCGAAAACUAGACUCUCCACUGGAUUGUUGUUCGUCAGGUUGAUGAUGAGUUGAUCAUACGAAUCUGGUAGACUUUGAAGUAGAAGCUCUGCACGUUCAUUUUCCUCUAUAUUAUGACCCAACAUUGUGAGUUGUGAAAAUAGAGUCUUCAAUGUGUUGAUGUGGUCGGUCACCAUUGUAGAUUCCGUCAUUCGAAGAGUAUAGAGUUUUCUCUUCAAGAAGAUUUUGUUGUGUAGUGACUUGGCCUCAUACAAUUUUGUGAGAGUAUCCCAUAUUUCCUUCGCCGUAUUUUUCUCUGCCACACUGGAUAAUACUCCAUCCGCAAGUGCCAAGUGUAGAUCAGAAAUGGCGUUGCCGUCUACCUCGUUCCACUUGUCAUCAGUUAUCUCCAUGGGCCUUUCUCCAAUUGCUGCCAAACAAUUAUUUUUCCUCAAUACAGCUUUCAUCUUCAUUUUCCACAAUGAAAAAUUAUUUCCGUUAAACUUCUCAAUUUCAUACUUUGCCGCCAUUUUGUUGAUAAAUACUGUACACAAGUUAGUGUACCACCUUGAAUAGUUGUGAGUAUGUGUGAUAAUGCACACCAGGAAAGUUCCCAGGAAAGACUGGAGGGGUCACAAUGGUCCCACUUAAAACCCAGACUCCUUAAGCUCUUAUCGCCUUUGUGACAGAACUUUCCUAGACAUGUACAAAACCACAGUUGUUUUUCUCACACUACUAUUCCCUGCUUUGCACCGGAAAAUUCUUGGAUCGCUUCCACCGUUUCACGUGAAUAGUACCGUAUACGUGAACAAUACCAUAUAUGUGAACAAACCCGUAUACGUGAACAACACAGUAUACGUGAAUAGUGUCGUAUACGUGUACAGUGCCGUAUACGUGAAUAGUACCCCUUACGUGAACAGUUCCCGACUCCAAAAAUACAACCAAUAGCUCUGAUACCACUGUUAGGAAAUUGGUGGGUGCAGCAGGACCGCAACUAAAAUAAAAUUGGAAAUAAAAUAAAGAACAAGCACAAUAGAGGACACCGAAAAUUACGUGGUUCGGCUUUUAGCCUACAUCCAUGGGCGAAGACAGAAGGAAAUAUUUUACUAGUGAAAUAAGGAUUACAAGUAUUGUAAGAUUUUAGCUCACUACCCAAAACCCCAAUACACCCAAUCUCUCACUCACUAGACAUGCAAGAGUUUAUUAAACUCUUGAAAACUCUCAACACUCAAAGAAAGAAAGAUUUCUCUCGAUGGAAUUGAAUACAAAAUGAAAUGAGGAGCUCUGCCUUUUAUAGCCAAAAAAUGGCUAUUAAAUUAUUAUUUUUACCACCGUCUUCAUUCUUCUAUUUUCUUCUUUCUUCUUUUUUCUUCAUUCCAAAUUUGCUGCUGCCAAAUUCUUCAACAUUUUCUUUGGCCGGCUGUCAAAGCCAACUUUGCUUAUUCAAGGGUUCUAGAUGCAGUAGCUUCUAGAUGCAGCCAAAUUUGACAAUCGAGGCAGGGCACGCUCAAGCCACGAAUUAGAGGAAUUUUAAAUAUCAAAACCAGCUCAGAAUAAUAAGAAGUAAAAUGAAACUAAAAAAGGCUCAGAUUUUUGGAUGAGUGAAGGGAAGAUGAGAAGAUGAAAUGCAGAAAGUCAAGAAAUGAAUAAACCAAUAUUAAUAAUCUUGGACCCACAUCUCUAAUUUGGAUUAAGCAUCCAUCUGCCUAUGUGGAUAAUAUUUUUGCUAAUUUUUCAGCCAUGCAGCAGGAUCAUGUUCGUCUUGUUUUAUUUGAUAGAAGGAAUUUUCCCUUGGAAGAAAAUGAUGAGUCGUUUCAACGUAAUGCAGCUACCUAGACUGCAUGGAAUUUCACCAGACAAUGACAAUUUAUUCUCAGAUAUAUCUAAAUCUAACGCCCCCACAUUUGUUUAGUCACCCAAAUUUGAAGGCGUCCGUUUUGAGACUGAUCAAAACUUUUUCCAAAAAUUCGGGAUUCAGGUCGAUCAGGCCGGUUAUGUUUUGAAAACUUGUAAAUUUUCAGUGAUCAAACUUCAAAACUUUGCAAAUAGGUCAAAAUAUGAAAAAUUCUUGAUAUAUUAUUGAAUACUCAUUUUGUUUUGCAUUAAUAUAAGGCUAUGGGUGCUAUCUAGUAAUGUUGGUAAAAUUUCUUGAGUUGAAAACAAUAAAACGAAAAUAGCUCUAAUAGAUCCACCCCUGUUUGAAACUCACUCAUAUGGAUGGGAAAGAAAUUUAGUUACCAUUGGAUUAAAAAAUAAUUAUUAUUAUUAGAAAAAAAAUUGUAAGGCUUCGACAAGAUUUGCUAAUCAUGUAUAGGUUAAAAUUUAUGUGGGUUUGGCCACCAAUUUAGCAUUAGGAACUUAUUGUUUAGGAAGCUAUGGUGGGUGUCGUAGUGGGACUUAUUCUCUUUAAUGCAUAUGGUGAUUUUAAACCAACAUUUAUAUAAUCCCAUUAUAAAACUCAUCAAACCUUCUAAAAUAACAUGUUGAGAUAGUGUGCUAGAAGUAUUUCUCCAACUUCUUAGCUUGAAGCGAUGUUCAUUUCCAUUGAUAGUUUAAUGGGCAAAGCCUUUUGAAUUCUCCAUGUUAUCAAGUUAAUUUUUGCUGGAAAAUGCAAUCCGGAUAUGAAUAGAAUUUUUUGUGCAAUCGAAUUUUCUAUGUUGACACAUCUUCUGGAACAUUCAAUAAAUUUUAUGGAGAAGUUUUAAUUUCUUAGUUGUUGAUUUCGAAUAUAUUAAGCUCUUAUUCAGUAUUAAAGUAUUGUGGCCUAAAAGAUAUAGUUCGUAUGGAAAGAAAUUUGUAAUUACAAAAUAAAAAUUGAUAAAGUGUGAUAAAUAUAAUUUCAAAAUAAAAAAUAAACUUAACUUCAAAAUUACAAUAGUAAUUAUAAAGUAUUUACUAAAUACAUUAGUGUUGCAGUAACUGCCCUACCACAAUGACAAAUAGGGGGCUAAUACUACAAAUUGUUCCAUUAAAAGUCACCCAAAAAGGAAGAAGUGACUUAAAAAAUUAAAAGAAUGCAGGAGCUGAAGUUGGCUAUUUUGUAAAUUGCAAUGGCAAUUGUGGCCUAGUAAAAUCCCUCAAUGAGUCACAGCACUAGCAAUUUCGUAAUAUACAUUAGUGGCAAUUUUGUAAAAUUGAAGUAAUGAUAGUUUUGCAAAUAAAAGUAAAAACUUUUUCCCUAAAUUCGGCUGAGCUAAAAACCAGCUUAGCCCACAGUCUCCUUCGCCACCGGUUGACGAGCUCUUCCUUCAAUUUUUGAACUUGAAGUGAUGCCCCAUCGAUGUCCAGAAUUUUUAAAGUCUCCCCAUUGUACAAGUUAAACAAUAAAGUCAGAAUGAUGAUCCUAAUGAUUCUUUUUAGAGAGUCACCUGUACGUUGAAGUGUUUAAUUGAUGUUUAUUUAAGCAGAAAUUGAAGUUUGAUCCUGAUUAAUUAGAUGAGAACACACAUUCAUGAGUAAAUACUUAAAAUUAAAUUAAUCAAAAUAGUAUAAAUACAGGAGAAAAUCGAUCAUAUGCGUACAGAAAUCACAAUCGAAUUAUAUAUAUCACCGCCGCACAGAAAUAACAAUUAAAUUGUAAUGUCAAUUGUCCACAUAAGAUUUUUUUUUUUUUUUUUUUUUUUUUUGUUGAUGAAAGUUAGUAAUUUUUUUCCAUCUUUUUAAAUAAUAGUUGUUAAUAAAUAUCAAGAAAAUAUUGGGACUGGAGAUCAGGGUCUACUUAAGUUAGAAGUGAGAGUAGUGCAGAUAUGUGGGGAUUAUAUGCAAGGUGGCUUAAAAGUAAAGGAGAUCUUACAAUGUGCUCUGAAGCCCUCUUAAAGCAAGUCAGAUCAUAUCAGGUUUCUCCAUAAAUCUCAUCAUCUUAUAAUAAGUUAGCAUUAUGUUUUACUUUGAUGUUGAUGGAAUUUGUUAAUGCUAAUCAAAUUUUGUUAAUCUCCCUCUCUUUUUUUUUUAAUUUAAAAGAAGGCAAAUAAAAAGCUUUGUGAUUUCAUUUUUGUUUUCUAAAUUUGUUAUCUAAAGGAAUGACAAGUUGAUAACUCAGCCUCUGUGUGUGUGUGUCUGUGUCAGGGAUCUGAUUUGUGGAAAGAUAGAGAUCGGUUUAAAAGGUUUUCAUAUGCAUCCUUGGAACUUUGUAAGGUUUACAUGGAAAUUUCUUCCUCUUCCGGUAGCCGUCGAGAGCUCUUUGCUGCUGAGAUGCACCUGAAGAACGUACUUAAACAAGUAAAACACCUUAUAAUUCGAUAUUUAAGACACUUACAGUUGGUUUAAAGAUUGUAUUUUCUGUUUCUGUUUUUGACUGGUUCAGGGUAAAACUUUUUCUCACUGUGUUAGAGUGCAUUUCUGUUAUUAUAUAGUUUCUUAGAAGAAAAUGCACUUUUUGGAAUCUCAGGCUAAAGGAUUUUCUGACAUGGAAGAGUUCAGGGAUCUUCAAGCUUGCCUUGAUGAAGUGAAGACAAAACUCCAAUCUGGUCCCGUGGCUACCUAAGUAUCAGGAAUGUGCUAUUUUUGAAAUUUAGUAACAAGGUUAAAUCUGCAACUAAAAAUUAUUUUAGUUUGUACUGUAGUGGAGACCUUAAGCAGGACUGAAUAUCUUGUAUUGUUGUAUCACCUUUUCUGUAACAAAACGGUCUAGUUUUACUAUUUUUAUUAUUUUUGUAUUUUCGGUGCUGUAACUAAUCUCAUUUGACAAUUUAAAUAUAUGGCUUCAAGUUCUUUAAAUGUAACAUCAAGUGUUGUUUCAACCUCUGUUCUUUUAUGUAUUUCUUGCAUGCGGUGAUUUCAUUAACCUCAAUUUAAGGACAAUUUCAUAUCUUUUUUCUUUCUGCUUUUCUUUUAUCAUUUAAAAACAACACACACACACACACACACAUUUAUAUUUCAGAAGAGGAAAUUGCACGGGAUAUGACUCAAUACUUGCUAAAUGCCAAGACUAUGACCCAAUUAUUUACAUGCCGAGACUAUGACCGAAUAACAAGUGAAAGUACACAAAUAUCCUUAUAAGUAACUAAGUUAAAAAUAUAAAACUUGAGUUAGGAAGUUUAGGAAUGCAUUGAACUUGUAUUCAUUACUUUGAUUAAUCCAUUUACCGUUAUACAAGACAAUAACACGUACCAUAUCCAUUUACAUAAAAAUUAUGAGUUGACAAAGUAAGAAUAUUAACAAAAAUAAGUUGUUAAAAGUUCUUGUAGACUUCUGUGCUUCAGUUCUAGACUUCUAGAUUUAUAGACUUACCUACAUGUCUAUAAGUCUAGAUGUAAAGAAGUCACGAAAACGAUAACAAUGAUAAACAAACUCAAUUCAACAACAAAUUUGAUGUGUAAAAAUUGUGUUGAAGAAUUUUUUGGAAUCUGUUUGAAUUUGUUAAGGGAAUGUGAUGAUUUUAGUAAGUGUUUGAUAACAACUUAGAAUGUUGGACGCAUUAUAGUGCUGGGUGCAUGCUUUUGUUGGAAAAGAUAAGGGCAUUUUAGACUAGGGAUCACCAAAAUGUCAUACAAAUUUAAUUGAGUAAAAUUUGUCAUAUUUAUAUAAAAUGUACAUGAUUUUGUCAUAUAUAAAUAAAAAACCCAUUUCAGAAAGCAUUUAAACAAAGCGAGAGUACAAUAAAAAACCCAUUUUAGAAAGCAUUUAAACAAAGCCAGAGUACAAUAUAGAAAGAUUUUACUCAUUCUAAGUGUGUACCAAACAAAGAAAUGAACUCUCCUUUUCUAGUUAUAUAAUUAUUACAUGAAAUUAAUAAAAACAUGACGAAUUAUAAUUCCUUGCGAUAUAGUGGGGGUUAUAGAAAAGUCAAGAGUUGCUAGUGGAAGAUAAUAGGGAGAGUACAAUAUAUAUAUUAUGAACAUUCACAUUUAUUUUAAUAAAUUCAUAGCAUUUUUUUUGCUUAAAUAACAGGGUGUAUGUAUAUAUAUAUUGACAUAAAAAUUGCAUGACGUGUGGUUUAGCGUUUCUUGGUUGUUCAGUGCUAGUUUUAUGUCAAUUUUUAUUGACAUAAAAAUUGCAUGACACAAAAAAGGCUGUUUUAACCAACUAAAAACCAAAAGCUAAAACCCAAAACCCCCCUCUUUUUCGUUUUCCAGGGACUUCACCUUGAUAUUCAACCAACACUUCUGAUGUCUGCCCUUCAAUAAACCAAGUCAUUCAUACACAUGAUUCUACUAUUGGUGAUGCCUCUGAUGUUUUUGUGACCCCAAAAUUAUUGGGGAAUAGUCAUGAAUCUGAAUCUGGAGUCCAAUGCAUUCACGCUGGUGGCUCAGCAGCCCAUUUAAAGGCAAUCCAACAGGCAGUGAUCUUGUCGAGGUGCCUUCUAAUAGAAAAGAGCUCAUGGCAAGAUGAAAUGCAAAGUAAGUUGUUUUAUGGUUGGCCGGUGUGUAGUCAUCUCGUUAAAGGCCAUAAGAUGUUUAGCAUAUUGCUAUUUAAUUUUUAAAUCAUUCUCAGUAAUAAUUCCUUUAGUAGAUUGAUGAUAAGAGAUUGCAUUACAGAUGAUAACGGAGCACAAUUUUUGUAGUUGUAUCCCUGUACAUCCAUCUUAAUAUCCUCAUUAUAUUCACAUGCCUUUUACGGGUGUUAUUUCUGGAUGCCGAAUGCUUUGCUCCACGUCUGGAUACCAAAUGCUUUGUUCCACAAAGCUGAGCUGGUUGAAAAGCUAGCUGAUGAGGUCAACACGUCCCUUAAGUAAUUUGAGGAUGAACACUGUGUUCCCGAAAGUCUUACUCUAAUGAUACUUAAAGAAGCAAUGAGAAUGGAUGUUGCAGCAGCUUUGCUGAACUCAACUCCAGUUCCAAAAAUGGAACAUGUGAAAACCGAAAAUGCAUUGUUUUUUUUUUUUUCCUCUUUAUGACUUCUCUAGUUGGGGAAUGUAUUAGAUAUUCACCUAAUCAGUAGGCCUUGAAGGGAUCCCAUGUUAGCCCCUUGAUGUUGGUCUGUAACUAAGUAAAUACUUGACCUUGAAAAAGCUUUUGGAGGCAUCAGUUUCUCUCUGACUGGUGCUACUUUUUGGAUCUGUUGAUUUGGUCAUUUGCUGAUUUAUAGUUUGUUUUCUGAUUCAGGAUGGGAUAUGGCUCCAUACAUAGAGGCAACUGAUUCACAGCAGUCGUCAUGCUUCAUUGUAAAUAUAUAUACAAUACAGCAUCAGUUUUUCUUGAUUUUAAAUCUCAUAUUCUGAAGUGGUACUUCUGAUUCUCACAUGAUUUUUCCAUCUUUCAGCUAAAGUUUUUCUGUGAUCUCUUACGUAUUAGAUGGGAAUCCACCCGCAGUCGCACAAAAGGGCGUGCUUUAGAGAUGAUGGACAAACUGGUAUGAUCUGUGAGCCUUUUCUUCUUAAAUAUUUUGUUACCUAAACCAUUUUCAUUCAAAUUGACAAGUGUUGCUUAUCAAUCUAUAGAAGAUUCCAAACUUUCUGCAGCUAGUACUUUAUUGGACCCAAAAGCUUUUUUGCUUUUUCUAAGCUGCUAAUCAGGACUAGGUUUCUCUCCCUUAUAUCGCUAGAUAUCCCAUUAAUCGUUUGAUUUAGUUGUCUAGAGAGAUUAGGUACUUGCAUCUUCGCUUUUCACUUCACAAGUGAUUUCAUGUGCUAUCCUGUAUUCUGGUUCAAGAUUUUUGAAGGUUGCUUACCAUCAUAUUUUGCUUUGUUUCAGGUUGAGGGCAUUUCUAAUUCUUCUCCCGGUGUGACUCAAAGGAUUCCCUUUUGUUAUGUGAUUUAAGUUCCAACUAUUCCUACCCUGCGAAAGUAAUACUAUUUCUUUUGCUUCUUUGAAUGAUUGUGAUUUAAUUUUCUUGUCAUUUUGCCAACUAUCAUUAUGCUGUCAUUGUUUCAUAUCUUAUUUGACAUAUGUUGAUUUGGUUAGAGUUUAAUUGCUCUGUUUAUUCUCUUUAUAAUCUGUCUAUUUCGAUUUUUCUUGAUUUUAG
This 50020-nucleotide long non-coding RNA is filed under the name Citrus x clementina. RNAcentral describes it as "Citrus clementina (C. clementina) long non-coding RNA (CCLE_LNC003592)". The record is from RNAcentral. Lineage: Eukaryota; Viridiplantae; Streptophyta; Magnoliopsida; Sapindales; Rutaceae.